RNAcentral lists this long non-coding RNA (67495 nucleotides) under Manihot esculenta (cassava). Its description in RNAcentral is "long non-coding RNA (MESC_LNC004204)". The record is from RNAcentral. Lineage: Eukaryota; Viridiplantae; Streptophyta; Magnoliopsida; Malpighiales; Euphorbiaceae.
UUAAGGGAAUGGGGUGAGCUACUAGAGCCCAGUGAGCAUAAUAAUAAAACAUUNNNNNNNNNNNNNNNNNNNNNNNNNNNNNNNNNNNNNNNNNNNNNNNNNNNNNNNNNNNNNNNNNNNNNNNNNNNNNNNNNNNNNNNNNNNNNNNNNNNNNNNNNNNNNNNNNNNNNNNNNNNNNNNNNNNNNNNNNNNNNNNNNNNNNNNNNNNNNNNNNNNNNNNNNNNNNNNNNNNNNNNNNNNNNNNNNNNNNNNNNNNNNNNNNNNNNNNNNNNNNNNNNNNNNNNNNNNNNNNNNNNNNNNNNNNNNNNNNNNNNNNNNNNNNNNNNNNNNNNNNNNNNNNNNNNNNNNNNNNNNNNNNNNNNNNNNNNNNNNNNNNNNNNNNNNNNNNNNNNNNNUAUGCAAUUUUGUGUUUAAUUCAUUGUUGCUUUGUUGUUUUGAUCAAAUUGGCCACUUGAUUCUUGAUUGCAAAGUAAUUCUUUGUUAGUUUGGAUAAUUUUUAGUCCGUAAUUGCUGGAAUUAUUCAAACACAAGUAACCCUUGGUGUAAAAACCUAGGAAAUCGCAUAAUCUAGCAAUAUCACCAUACGUUUGGGUAGCUAGAAUUAGGUCUCUCUAUUUCUUAAUGCAAUUAACAGUUGUUAGAUGCCAAAGGCCCAAGGACGUUCCUUGGCAACUUGUUGAUUAGUGAUUAAUUAGAGGACAUUCCCUAAUUAAUCUAUGCUUAAGGAGGGAUAUGGUUGGUGAGAAGCGUCUUCCACCUCCAUAACUAAUUUAUUGAGUUAAAUAAGAGAAUAUAAGUUUCAAUGAUCAAUCCCAACAACUAAAGUUGAUCCAACUCUUCAACUAGGCCUUUCUCAUUAUUGAAUUUCUCUACUUUAAUUAUUUGCUUUUCUCUAUUGCCUUCAAUAUUAGUUUAGUUUAUCAAACCUCAAAAACCCCCCAUUUUACUUUUAUUAUUUGCUUCUUUACUUGGUCUUGACAAGGAAAAUAAGUAAGUAUCAAUUCCCUGUGGAUUCGACCCUAUUGCCACUAUCUGCAAGUUUAUUGUUGAUUGUUUAAUAGGUUUAUUUUUUACGGCUUCGACAACCGCUUAUCAGGCACCUUCGGCGGCCGAAACUCCCUUCCAGAGCCGAAAGUCUACUUUCGGGGGCAGGGUUCGGCAGCCAAAGGCUUGCCUCUACAGGCAGGUUCGGCGGCCGAAAGUCCCUUCGGCUGCUGAGCCUGAGUUCUUCCAAAGGGCAGAACUCAGCCUCAACAAUGCACAUUUUCCUCCCAAACCAUUCAACUCAAACACAACACUUCCACAACAUGCAUACACAUAUACAUAAGCUCCUAGGGGCCUCAAACUAUCCUAAACCCCAACUACAACACAUCAAGCAUAAACAAACAACCCACAUUGCUCAAAAACUCAACAUAAACCCAUAAACUCAAUAAUAACCUAAACAUGCAUUUUUACCUCAUAAACUUUCAUAAAACUCGUUUAAAACAUAAAAUGAGCUAAGGAUAUACUCUUACCUCUUGGAGAACGAGAGGAGAGGCAAUCUAACUCGGAGAUGGGGGAGAUCUAGCUCCUUGGGUCUCCAAGCUCCAAAACUUGCUCAAAACUCACAAAUCUUCAAAAACCAAGCAAACACUUGUUAAAACUUGAAAGAUUGAAGGAAAAUCGUCAAAAACGACCAUGGGAGAUGUAACGAUCCGAAAAUCGGACCGCUACCGGCGCUAGGAUCCAGAUCGGCUUAAGGCCGCCGGGACCCGUAGCAAGCCUGACAUGUAACCUGUAAACCUGUUUAAUCCCAUACAUGAUCAACAAUCAUACAUAAAAAUUAAAACUUUUCUUUCAUACAUUCUCUCAUACACCAAACUCAACCUGUGCACGCACUGAACAUAGACAUAAUCAUAAACAUUAACCCCUCUGUGGGAUCUCAUCAAUGCCCCUAUGGGCGAUACAACAUAAGUUGAGUUGGUUUACAUAAACAUCAUAAGACAUCUAAGAUCAUGUAUUAAAAGGGAUAACAAUACCCAUAGGGUCAAGCACAACUUCUAAUCCUCAAUAUCAUUAUACAUAACAUGACUAUUCAACUUUACAUCAUCUUACAAUUUAUCAUGUCCACUUUCUAUCUAUUACAAAUAUAUGACUUUACUCUUCUUGACUUCUCUGUCUAGCCCGUACCUGCAAUCCUGGGGGAUUAGGAAAAAGGGGUGAGCUACUAGAGCCCAGUGAGCAGAAUAAUGAAAAACAACAUUUAAAUUCUCAUGCCAUCAUGUAAUGCAACACAUCACAACAAAUCACAUCUCGGAUGGUAUUGUCACCAAUAGUCCUCUACAUUCCAAAGUGCCGGGACGUAGAAUGGGUACAACCGGUCUUUCUCUUAACAUAACAUAUCAUAACAUUCCAAUGUGCCAGGGACGUAGAAUGGGUAUAACCUGGACUUUCUCUUACAUAGUGCCAGGGACGUAGAAUGGGUACAAUCUGGACUUCCAUACCAUAUCAUGCCGUAAUAUCAUCAUACCAUAUGAGGGCUAAAGGAUCAUCCAAUAACCAAUCCACAUCAACAUCAUAAAUGCAAUGCAACAUAUUCGUGAAUUCUAAUGCAAACAACCUAAUUCAUCACAUGGCAUUCAUGAUGCAUGAACAUGCUAAAAACUUUAUAAUUUAUUUGCUUUAAAUCGUAAAGGUUUAUUCUACUCACCUCUGGCUGAAGCUUUACUGACUCAGAAGCAGCUGACUCACUGCUGGGGUCCUCGGUUCCUCGGGUCCGAACCUACACAGGUGGACUCAAAUGAGGGACCAAACAACUAGAACAUAACUCUAAAAACAUCCCCCAAAAACCCCCCUAAAACACCUCAAAAUAAUCAUGCAAAAACAUGCAAAGGUUUCGGCAGCAGGUUCGGCGGCCGAAAGUCCCUCCAGAGCCGAAAGUCAGGCAGGUUCGGCGGCACCUUCGGCGGCCGAAACUCCUAGACAGAGGCGAAACUCAUGCAUGUUCGGCGGCACUUUCGGCGGUCCAAACUCCCAGACAGAGAUGAAAGUCUCCUUUCGGGGGCAAGCUUCGGCAGCCGAAGGCUGCUUCCACAAGCAUGUUCGGCGGCCGAAAGUUCCUUCAGCGACCGAAACUGAUUUCUCCCUUAGUGGCAGAAACUCAGCUCUUCUAUGCAUGUACGCCUCCCAUUCCAUCCAAACAUGCAUAAACCUAUUCUACAACACACAUACACAAGCAUACAAGCUCCUAGGGGCUUCAAACUAUCUAAAACCCCAUCUUCAACACAUCAAUCAUGCAUUUGCAAGCCACAUUGUUCAAAAACACAUCAUAAACUCAUAAACCUAACCAUAAGCUAAACAUGCCUUCUACCCCAUAGAUCUUCAUAAAACUUACUUAAAACAUGCAAUGAGCUUAAGAUCGGCUCUUACCUCUUGAAGAUCGAGAGAGAGACGACCUAAUCUUGGAGAUGGGAGAUUUUCAACUUCCUUGGGUCUCCAAGCUCAAAACUUGCUCAAAACUUGAAAAUCUUCAAAACAAUAUGAAAACUUGUGAAAAUCGUCAAAGAUUUGAAGGAAGAACUCAAAGAUUGGUGAGGGACGGCGGAGAGCUCACCUUGGCCGAAAAUGGGGAGAAAAGCUCGCCCGUUUUCGGCUAAGGGACCCUUUUAUAGUGGCUGGCCAGGCCACGUUCGGGGGCCAAACGUGCCUCCGCAUGCAUGCCAUGUUCGGCGGCCGAACCUAGACUUCCCUCACUUAUGCCUUCGGGGGCCUAAGGCACACCCGAAAUGCCCGCAUGUUCGGCGGCCGAACUUGAGGUUCGGCGGCCGAACCUGGGUUUUCCUCCAAGGUUGUUUUCAUACAAAACUCAUUUUUCUUUUCACUUAAAAUCAUCAAAUACAUUAAAACAUUUUAUGAAAAUAUGGUUUUACCCUUUUAGAGGUCUCCGACAUCCGAGAUUCCACCGGACGGUAGGAAUUCUGAUACCGGAGUCUAGCCGGGUAUUAUAGGAGAGCAUGGAUUUACCGUUGGCCGAAAAUGGGGAGAAAACUCGCCCAUUUCGGCCAUGGAGCCCUUAUAUAGGGGCUGGCCAGACCACCUUCGGCAGCCUAAAGUGCCUCCAAAACUCAUGCAAGUUCGGCGGCCGAACCUGAGCCACUUUCGGAAGCCUAACUUGCUCCCCUAAACUAUCCCAUGUUCGGCGGCCGAACCUGGAAAUGCCUCUAUGGUCCUUUUUCAUUCAAAUUUCAAUUUCUUUCUUACUUAAAAUCAUAAAACACAUUAAAACAUUUUAUGAAAAUAUGGUUUUACCCCUCUAAAGGUCUCCGACAUCCGAGAUCCCAUCGGACAGUAGGAAUUCCGAUACCGGAGUCUAACCGGGUAUUACAUGUAUACGGUGGAUGGCGGUGGACGAUGGUUGGCGGCGGCGGACGAUGGUUAGCGGCUGCUGAUGAUGGAUGGCGGCAGCGGUGAAAGACCUAGAGAGGUUAGACGCUCAGAGAGAUUUUGAUUUCUCAAUCUCACGAUUUAGGGAUCUCAUUUACUAUUAUUUGGGUUAAAAUUCACUCACGGAUCCAUUAGUGAAAACACAUUACAUUAAAAAAUAAUUAAAUCACUUACGGAUUACUAACAGUAAAAAUAUCCGUUAGUAUUUCAUUUACGGAUUAUUAACGGGUAUCUACUUCCGUCAGUGGAAAAUACUGUGCGUCCUGUUCCGUUGUACAUACCGUUAGUAUCACUAACGGACUUCAAUCCAUUGUUGAAGUCCGUUGGUGAUUAAUAUAAAUCUUGUAGUGUGUCAUGAGUAAACUUUUUAUGGUUUCUCUUUCUGCCGUGAUUGGUAAGAAGCGUUCCUUGAGAAUUUUCACAGCUUGUGUGUAGGUGUCACCCCAAAGGCAAGACCGAUGACCUCCUCAUGCAUUUGUGCUAAGAUCCAUACAAGCAAAAGGCCAUCAUUGGUGAUCCAUGCUUCGGUAGAUUUCGAAGCUGGUGGUGUGUCUGAGACAAGAUGAUAAGCCAACCCAAUGCUUCGUAUUAGAGGCAGAAUUUAGGACUGCUAGAGAAGAAAGUUAUUGUUGUUAAGGACACUAGAGUAGAGCUGAUGAAUAGUUUGGAGAGUGAUAGAGUGUGGAUAGAUCAGAUGUUUUCACAGUUUGAGCAGAAUUUUAUGAACCAGAAAUCAUGCAGCUAGAGUUUUCAGCCAUAGCCGGACUUUCUGAAUGCUUAUGCUUUCAUAGCAAGAAGAAAAACAAGUUUAUUAUAAAAUGAUUCUUGCUUGUGUACGACAGGAGAACAAGGGUUGUUAUUUAUACAAUAAUACACGAGAAAUAAUGGAAAGAAAAUCAAGAAAAAAACAAAAAGAACGUCAGAAAUUACAAAAUUUUAGCACCAUCAAAUCAUGCUUUGAUAUUGAUUUUUUUGUCUCAUUUCAUCUGAGAUAGUCUUUGCUUCUUUUUCAGUUGAGAUAUCAACGUUAUUUGCUGGUUUUGUUUCCUUAUUUGCUGGUUUUGUUUCCUUAUUUGAGUCGUUUGGAAUACAUCUCAAUGUGGGGAAGGAAUUAUGAACUUUUUAUUCUCCAGUACAAACCACGUUUGGAUUCCUCAACUUAAUCCAAGUUUGAGUAUGUGGGUAGAUAGAUUGGUUCAUUGACGAUUGCAUUCACAGCACUAACCAUUUUGCGUGGACUUGAAAAGCCAUCAUCACCCAUGUAGAAGAGGUGCAAGAUCUUGCUCAUCUUCCAAAACAUAUCCUUGCAAGCUUUAGGAACCACGCUUCCUUUUGUUUGUUGCACCAUUCUCAGUAAUGCUCUCCUAUGGCUCUCUAUGAUUCUCGCAACCUCCUCUUGAGCCUCCUUUUCGGUUAUGGCUCCACGACCAUGUAUUACUGGUAGUGCCGCACCAUUCAACUUUCCUUGUGCACCAUCUUUCUGCAAGUUAAUUUGCAUAAAUGCAUGGAACAUAAAGAAGAAGCUGAUAAAUAGAAUUUGCUAACCAAGCAGCUAUGUAUGCGUACCAUAACAGUUACACGAUCAUUUACAAGUCGGCCAAUUAUGCUGAGAUGCAUGAAUAGAUCAUUGUACUCCUGGCUUUGGACAACUUCCUCAGAGAGUUUAGAUCCCACGAAGUAAAGUGAUAUGAGAACAAUAGGACCUAAGGCAAAUGAUUUAUAUCCAUUUGUAAUGUAUUCAUACAUCGUUGGCACUUGUUUGUUUCUUGCCCACUCAGUUUCUUUCAACCAAGAAUCGAGCAGAGUGAUCCACUGCAUAUAUAUAUACACACACAUUAUUACAAGAUAAUGAUCAUUAAUUAAAAAUAUUAAUACAGGAAAAUGAAUACUUAUUCCUACAAUAUCAAUCAAGUGUUUUUUGACCCAUCGUCCUUGUUGGCUUCUGGCCUUAUCAGCGAGGUCGUUUGUUGUGCCGUAAAUUGCAUAAAAGAGUAUCUCCACAUCUUUGGACUUGAAUCCAACGGUUGAGUGCUCAUCCCAACUGAGUUACAUCAAAUAUCUUGUCAGCUUUUAGAAAUUUGAUAAUUAGAAGAUGAAGUAUAAUAUAUGCAUGCAUGCGUAUUACCUCUGAACCAAUUCAAUGAGGUUAUGCAGUUCCUCCAUGGAACCAGCAACGUCAAAGAAAUCAUCGACAACAGUUGUUAAAACAGAGUUUUGAGCCCAUGAGAUGCGAGCAUCAGAGAGAUCAGGGUGGCAAAGCACUGCAGCAAUAGAAAAAUAAGCAUAUGAUAUCUUCUGUCUUGCAAACUUCAAUUUUUCCAAACUGUAUUCUCUGAUCCACCUGCUUAAUUUUAUUCAAAAUACAAUUUAAUUACACAUACAAUCACGUAGAGCCAUUUUCUAUACUACGUGAAAAGAAUAAACUUUUUGUAGAAAAUUUUAUGUAAUUCCUUAGUAAAAUUACCUUUCUAAAUAUUCAAGUUCUUUGCGGUGUAUGGCUUGACAAUCGUUAAAGUCUUGAACUGAAAGUCUUAAGAUAUCUCUUUUAUCAAUAUCGAAACACCUAUAAAUAAAGAAAAAUGCAAAAGAAUUUAUUAUUAUUAUUCAAAAAUAUAAUAAAGAUAGAUCAGUGAUGCACAUGUUACCUGUAAGAUGAUUUAAGAAGUUGAAUGCUAUCUGUAUUGUAACUCUGUAUAAAACGACGGCUUUCAAUUCUUUCCAAAUUUGCAUAUGGGUGUUUAAGAGCAUAAUCCACCUGUAGAUUUAAUAAACAUUUAUUAAUUUUUUUAACAUAAGACAACAUUAAAUAAGAUUGUGAUAUGUUUAUGUUAUACCUCAUUAUGCAAACUCUUGCAUUGAAUCGCCCCAGUACUCGCUAUCUUCUCUUCAAGAUAGGUUCUUGUCCAAGAAGAAAUUCUCUCAAGAACAUGUUCAUUAUGAAAUAUUGUCAACUGUGAAGCCUUGUAUAACUCUAAGACUGACUUGACAUUUUCACUCGCUAAAACUGAAACACUCUCUUGUUUGUCAAAAUUUAUCAAUGCAUCUGCAACAAGAAGUAAUGCUUAUUGUACACCUUGGAAUCUUGUAAACCACAAAGAAAAUAAAGAUAAAUAUUUAUAGCAACAAAUUUUAUGAAAUUUUUCUUUUUAAUAUACAGAUAUAUUCUCGUAUCUUUCAUAAAAUUAAGAUUGUAAACUCAAAUUAUCUACUUAUCAUCUCUUUAGCUUGGAAAAGAUCACCACUAAUUCUACUUUGACUUGGAGAGUCGACAGUCAUACAUGACAAUGACAAAUAUGAUAAGUACUAAGACUCAAAUUUGUGGUUGGAAAAAAAAAAUUACCAGAAGAGAUUUCGUAGCCAUUCAUUCGUAGGAGCCUAAAUGCCAAGGCACAACAUCCAGGGUCCGAAAAUAUUUCUUCAUUGCGUUGCUUCCAGGAUCUGUUCACCAACCAAUUAAUCAUAUAGUUUCCUAAUAAUUAGUAAAGGGUUCAGUGGGAAAUCACCUGUAUAUAUAAUCUAGUGUGGUUGCUGUUUCUUCAGUGAAAUGUCUAUCUAUUCCCAGCUUUGCCAAACUGUCAAUCAUAUCUAGGCGGGGAGAGAUAUCCAGUGGAUAAAUGGUUGGAACUGGAAAAAAGGAAAAAAAUUUAACCAAAUAUAUUCUGAAAAAUAUUGCCAUGACUUGUAUUCAAAAAGAACUAUAUAUGCUCACCUGCUUUGUCGAAUUUUAUCACUAGUGAGUGCAAGUAAUCUAAACAUUUUUCAUCGCGAAGAUGGAUGAGAGCAGCUGCAGUUGCAGAUGGUGAAUUAAAGAGCGAGCCGUUGCUUCUUUGAUGUUUCAUUAGCUUCUGCCAAUCAUUUAAUCUGGUCAGCCCCUCUGCAUAGUAUGCAAGAUCGUUUAUCUCGCCUUGGAAUCUGCAGCAAAAUAAUUUACUCAGCAUCAAUGCAUACGUAAAGUUGAAUUUAAAAAAAGAAAAGAAUCACAAGUAUAUGUAUUAUGCCUUUUAAUUUCCAAAUCUCGCUUGAGAAGCAUUCCCUCUACUGAAGAGCUGUUGAAAGGAAGAUUCAAGCCUGCGUCUCUGGCAUGCUCAAUCAUGCCCGAAAAUAUUAUAUCGAAGCCAAGAGGAGAAAAUUGAUGCUUGUCAGUGGCAGCCCAAAUGUUAGAGGCCAUGAAGUCUAAACCUUUAUUCACAAGCUGGUCGCCCACAUUCCAUUUAUGGAGAGCUAGUAGACAGGCAAGUGUGGAAGAGAGGGAGUCUUUAAUAAGGAGGGGAUGUGCAGGAUCAAAGGCCCAUGAACCAUCAGGCAGCUGAUUCUCCAUAAUCCAGUUGAGGCAAUCUGGGAAAAGAGGCUGCUUUGAGCCAUUCUGAGAAGGUACCAUCGCAACCCAAGCAGUGUCAUAUGAGGAAACUGAUAGCUCAACCUCAUCUUUCUUCAACAAAUCUCUGAUUUUCUGAAAUGAAUUUCUCACAUCCUGUCACAGAAACGUGGAAAAUUUUCCAUUUUAGUUAACAUUCUCAGCAGGAAAUAAAAAUAUAUAUAUAUCAGAAAGAGAGAGACUGCUUACGACAACANNNNNNNNNNNNNNNNNNNNNNNNNNNNNNNNNNNNNNNNNNNNNNNNNNNNNNNNNNNNNNNNNNNNNNNNNNNNNNNNNNNNNNNNNNNNNNNNNNNNNNNNNNNNNNNNNNNNNNNNNNNNNNNNNNNNNNNNNNNNNNNNNNNNNNNNNNNNNNNNNNNNNNNNNNNNNNNNNNNNNNNNNNNNNNNNNNNNNNNNNNNNNNNNNNNNNNNNNNNNNNNNNNNNNNNNNNNNNNNNNNNNNNNNNNNNNNNNNNNNNNNNNNNNNNNNNNNNNNNNNNNNNNNNNNNNNNNNNNNNNNNNNNNNNNNNNNNNNNNNNNNNNNNNNNNNNNNNNNNNNNNNNNNNNNNNNNNNNNNNNNNNNNNNNNNNNNNNNNNNNNNNNNNNNNNNNNNNNNNNNNNNNNNNNNNNNNNNNNNNNNNNNNNNNNNNNNNNNNNNNNNNNNNNNNNNNNNNNNNNNNNNNNNNNNNNNNNNNNNNNNNNNNNNNNNNNNNNNNNNNNNNNNNNNUAUACUAACUAUUAUAUAUAAUUUCGAUUUAUUUUAAAUCGUUGACUUAAAAUAAAAUUUCAAACAAAUAACUGACUUAUACGCAUAUAUUAGGUAAAGUCAAGUGAUAGAGUGGUAUUCUCUGUUAAAGUUGGACAUUUAAUUAUUGCUUGAAUUUUAAUUGAAGUAAAUUAUAAAUUUUUUGAAUUUUCAAAACCCAAAAUUCAAAGUUGUGCAAUAAAAUUCUACAAAGUUAAUGAUCAAUCAAUAAAAUUCCACAAAAUCCAACGAUCAAUCAAUCAAGACCUCAACUUUGCUUUUGAAAUUUCAACAAGUUUAAAAAAUCAAAUUUUCAAUAAUUGAAAACCAAAAUUCACAUAAGUCAAAGUUGAUAAAAAAAAUUUCGAAAAAAAAAAAGGACAAAAAUUAAGAAAAUUCGGCAUCUUCCCUCAGCUACUCACUUGUCCUCAAAGCAUCACCACUAUCUGAUUCGGUGCUUAAAGUUUAGCUCAACCGUUUAAUAAAGCUUUAUUUAUUUGUAAAAAAUAAUUUUUAAUUUUUAAUUUUUAUAAUAUAUUUUAAUAUUUAUUUUUUUAUAUUCCAGAUGAAAUUAGAAUAGAAAAUUUUUAAAUAUAAUUAAAUUUUGUACUAAAAUAUUAUUUAAUUAUGUCUCUUAAAAUUUUGAUUAAAUUUCCAUUUUUAUAUACUCUUUAUAUAUAUAUAUAUAUUACUUUAGAAAAGCCAAUAAUUAAGACAAUUACAUCAAGAGAAAUACACAUUUUUUGCACAACUGUCAACCGCUUUUAUAACCGACAUAAUCUUAAAUUUAAUAAUUUUUAUAUAUUUUAUUUUUUACAGUUCAAAAAAUAUGAAGGCGUUAUUUAUAAAAGAUAAAAGAAAUGCUUUUAGAAAUAUUAUUUCAGAUAUUAUUAAAAAAAAUAUUUAUUAUUAUUAUUAAAAUACAUUAAUUUUAAUUGUGAUUUAAUUAUUAAUUCUUUACAAUUAACAAAUUUAAAACGAUUAUUUCACCACUAAUAAUGUUCAGAUUCUUAUUAUGUCCAUUAACAAUGUUUUGUUAGAUGGUUUAUCACUUUUUGGUCUUUUGAUUCAAGAUUAUAAAUUGAUUCUAUCAAGUUAAGAUGUGGUUUUAUUUAUAGGUCUGCGAAUGAUGUCGCUCAUAUUUUAACAAUAUCGACUAUUUCUUUUCUUUUUUUAAAAAAAAUAAAUUGAAGAACGAUAAAUGCAUAUAUAGAUAUUUAAUAAAAUAAAUUAAAAAUCCAAAAUUUAAAAUUCAACAAUCAAAUUUCAACAAAAUGCAACCAUUCUGCCAAAAUUUAAAUUCACAUUGAAAUUCAACACCAUCCAUAAGUCAAAUUCCAAAAUUCAAUAAUAACUCAAAUUGGUAAAAUGAUAUCGUCUCAUUUAGGCACCUUUCGCUCUCACUUUAGCUGGCACCUUCUCUUCAAACACAAACGAUAAAAUCAAAUUUUAAAUUUAGAGAAUUUUAGUAACCAAUUGAAAUUAAAAAGAUAAACAGUUAAUGAUAGGAAAAAAAGUUUUUUUUUUAAUUUUUUAAUUGUAUCUUAUUUUUUAUAAUUUAUUAAUUAAAUUUUUUAUUAAAAAUUAAUAAAAUUAUUACAUUAUUUUAUCAUCUCAUCAAAUUCUGAAUACAAUUGAUUAUGAUUUAAAAUAUCAAAAUUUAAUUAGUAAAUUUUUAAAGUUUAGAACGAAAUUAUAGAAAUUCUAAAUAUAAUUGAUUAUGAUUUAAAAUAUUAAAACUUAAUUGAUAAAUUUUUAAAAUUUAGAACGAAAUUAUAGAGUUUUAUAAGGAUUUAAAUUUUUUAUUAUUUUUUUAAAAUUAAAAUUUAUAAUAUUAAAAAAAUAAUUUAUAUUAUUAUUAUUAUAAUUUCUUAAUUUUAUUAAUAAUUUAAUAUAUCAAUUUAUUUUAAUUUAAUCCAAAUUAAUCCAUAUCUUAUUUUUUUUGAAUUUGUACUAAUUAUCAUCCUAAUUAGAUUAAAAAAAGUGAAGUAAUGCUCAAUCACUAUAAUGAAAGAGAAUAAAUACACUAAAUUGUUUAAAAUUUUGGUGUGAAAUAUAAAAUUAAUUUAAAAUUAUAUUUUUUAUAAUUCAUUUUGAGAACAUAAAAUAAGAUAGUUAUAACUAUUUUUUAAUAUAUUUUUAAAAUAAUAUUUUUUUUACUUUUCAAUAUAUUAUUAAUUAUAUAUUUUUUAAAUUAUAAUAAUAAUCAGCCUGACUUAAUUUAGAAUUAAUUUAAAAUAAAAUUAAUACAUGAAAUUAUUGAUAAAAUUAAAAAAUUUAUAAUAAUACUAAAAAUAAUAUUUUAAUAUUAUUAAUUUCAAUUUUUAAAAAAAUAAUCAAAAGAAUUUUAAAUUUUAAAAAAAUUUAUAAUUUCAUCGUAAACUUUAAAAAUUUAUCAAUUAAAUUUAAACUUUUUAAAUUAUAAUCGAUUGUAUUUUAAAUUUUACUGACACAACAGAACCACGUGAUAGUGAAUAAUAUGAUAAUUUUAUUAAUUUUUAAUAAAAAAUUUAACAGUGUAAUUAAAAUAAAUAUUAAAGUGUAGAGUUCAAUGAGUAAACUAUAAAAUGAUAAAAUCUAAUUAUAAAAAUAAUAAUGAUUUAUUUUUUUAAUUAACUCAAAGAUAAAUUUUUAAGAAUUUAAAAUUUUUUAAUUUAGUAACGGAUUGAAAUUUUUUUUUUUUUUAAAUUGAAGCAAAGUAGAUAAAAAGUGUAAAUGCAAAAUAUGACAAAAACUCUCAACCUUAAUUUACAGUCUCUCCUUCUCCUUCAUUUUCCACUUCCAUAUAAUCUCACUUUUUAUCUGAACUUGUAUUUUUUUUAUUAUAAUUAUAAAUAUUCUUGAUUUAUUAAAUUAAAAUUAAAUUUUAUUUAAAUAAAAUCAGCCUAUUAAAAAAUAAAUGCUCAUAAUAAAUAUUUUUUCUAUUAUGAAAUUAAAACUCUUGAUUAUUUAAAAGAGAAGUGUACCAAAUCACUUAUACACUCAGUAAAAAAAAUAUAUUAAUUUUGAAAAUUUUUGGAUAAAUUAUUAUAAUCCUUAAACUUUAAUCUAUAACUUUACUCUUUAUAUUUUUAAAAUUAAAUAAUUUAGCUUCUCACUUUUAUUAUAUAUAAAAAUUGAUUCUUCCAUCCAACACUAAUGAUUUUAACAAAAAUUAUUAAAAUUUCCUUUACUAUAUUUUUUAUAUAAAAUAUGUAAGCUCAUGAUAUUUUAUUUUAUUAAUAAAAUAGUUCCUAAAUUUAAUUUUAUGAGUAAAUUUAUAAAUAUAAAUAAUUUCUAAUACUAUAAUUUUAUCUAUUAUCUAGUAAUAUUUCAUAAUUUAACACUAAUUUACAAUAUUUCAUAAACUGAGAAGAUAACUAAUUAUUAAAGCAUAUAUUUUUAUGUAGUUACUAGGAGAUUGUUAGUUUGAAUCUUAUUAUAAUUUAUUGAUUGUUUAUUUAUAAUAUUAGCAUUUUAUAAUAUAUAAAAUUCUAAUUUAUUUGGAGUUUGUAAAGUUUAAAAAUGUACAUUUCAUAAUUUUAUAUGUGAUUGAAAAAAUAAUUUGAAAAAUUAUUUUAUUACCUUAGAAUUUUUAUGAUUGAUACGUUAAAUUUUAAUUUUUAGUAGUUUUAAUAAUACAGUAUAACAAUAAUAAAUAUAAAUUAUAUUUACUUUUUAAAUAUAUUUAAUAUUACAUAAAUUAUAUUAAUUACGUAUUCAGAAUAAAAUUAUAUUGUGUUUGGUUAAACUUAUAAAGAGGAAAAUGUGAGGUGGUAGAUUUUCGAUACUCGAAUCGGUAUAACUGAAUAAUAAGAAGAAUGCAAUCCAUUAAAAUUUGAGUAGUGUAAAAGAACAACAUACAUAUACUUUUGUGAUUUUUUUCAUUCUAUACUAUAAAAAGGUGAAAAUAUAAUAUAUUUUAAUAAUCCAACGAUAAUAUAACGGACUACUUGAUAAGUGAUAUUGUCUAGAUUGUUAAUUCUGAAAUUAUAAAUGUAGCGAGUCUUAACAAUUAAUCAGAUAUUUAAAAUGUUCGAAUAUUUCUUUGAUCAAGUAGAACUACUUUAUUUACUUAUCAUAUUUUUGUCACGUGAACAUAUUUUACGGCUUAUUAUUUAUUUUGAAUAAUUAUUAUAUAGUAUUAAUAUUAAUAAAAAAUUUUACUUUUUUAAUUAAAAUUAAUAGUAAUUUAGAUAAAAAUUCAACUUUUAUAUAUAUAUAUAUAUAUAGAAUAUUUAUCUGCACAGCUGUACUAUUGACUAAAAUACAGAUAAGUAGGUCUUUUUAUAGAAAAAACGAGUAUGAGCUUAUGAUUUAUUUUGAAUAAUUGUUAUAUAGUAUUAAUAUUAAUAAAAUUUUUUAUUUUUUUUAAUUAAAAUUAAUAGUAAUUUAGAUAAAAAUUUAAUUUUUAUUUAUAUAUACAUAUAUAAAAAAUAUUUAUCUGCACGGUUGUACUAUCGACUAAAACACAUAUAAGUACGUCUUUUCAUAAAAAAAAGAGUGACAUUCACCUUUUUGAAUUUAUGAUGGACCGAAUUCAUCGAAGAAUUUUUAAAAUGUAUAUAUUAAAUUUUAUAUUUUUAAAAAUCUGAGUACUAUACUAUAAUUUAUUAUCAAUGUUAUAAAUUCAAUGAUUUUUUUCUUUAACUAGAUGACAACAAAUUAAAAAUUUUAGAAUAAAUUCUCAGUCAUAAUUAUUUUUUAUAAGAUGAAUCAAAAUAAAUUGUUAUAACAAAAUUAAUUGAAUUUAAACACAAAAUUUAUUAUAAACGGGACUCAAAAUUACUUAAUUAGUUCAAUGUAAAAACAAAAUUAUUUCACCUAUAUUUUUCAACAACAUAAUUUUCAAAACAUCAAUUUCAUUAUUUGCCGUCAUUUUCUGUGAGAACUUUUUCCACAAGACAAGAAAAUAUUUUUAAUAAAAUAAAAUAAAAUACAUUAAUAAUUUAAUUAUUAAAAUAUAUAAAAUUUAUUAAAUGAUAGUCUUUUUCAAGUUACAUAUUCCUGCAUGAGAUUGAAAUGUGGAAAUUAUGUUAUAUGGCUUCAAAAGGUCAAAAAGUUUAUUUAAUUUUACUUGUAUUAUUCAAAUCAUUUAUUAGUCUAUAGUGUAUAUUCUGUCGAUAUUAUCCGUUAUUUAAAUUUAUCUAAAUUAUUUUUUAAAUAAGUGGUUUAAUUUUAUUUAUGCAAAAUAUUAUUUUUGAUUUGUACUCUUUUUAUACUCAUUUUAGUUAAUAAAAUAAUAUAUAUAUAUAUAUAUAUAUAUAUAUAUAUAUAUAUAUAUAUAUUAAUAUAGAUUUAAUUUUUAAAUUUUAAUAUAUUUUUUAAAAUUAAAAAAAAUAAAUAUUUAUUCAGAAAAAUUUGCUACUAGUUUUAAAUGAGCAUUCUGGAGUAAUCAGAAAUCAAUUUUAACAGAACUAAUGUAAUUUUUUUUUUUAAUUCGACCUUCAUUAUUAUUUUUUAAGGAAUUAACUGUUAGUUGUUCCGUUCUGAAACGCUGUCGGCAUAAAACGCCGUCGUUUUACGUAUGAAAUCAAAAUUUCCUGUCUCUGGUUUUUGUUGUAAUUCAACUUUUCAGUUUGAUUUUAGAUAUUUUUUAAUAAAAUUUUGGUUAACCAGUUCAGUUUGAUUAAUAAAAAGAGAAAAAAAAAGACUUUAUUUAUUUAUAAAAAAUAAUUUAUAUUUAAAAAACAUUUUUUAUAUUAAAAAUAUUAAAAUAAGAAGUUUAUUCUAAUUAAAAUUUCUUUUAGCAUGAGUUUAAAGCACAGUGCUGAAGAAAAGGUAUCCAUGAGAGUGUUGAGUUUUUGUUUUUUCCUUUGGGCUUUUAGAGCAGUGUUGUUUAAAACGUGUUCGCAUAAGAAUUGGCAUGUAAGGGUGAGAUUUACUUUCAAAAUAUUUUUUUUAAAAAAAUUAGAGGAUUAUUUAUUUUAUAUUAAGAGUCUUUAUAUUUAUAUAAAAAAUAUAAAUAUUAAAUAUAAAUUAUUUAAAUAGUAAUUAUAAUAUUUAAAUGUAAUAUUAUUCUCACAAAAUAAUACUUAUUUAAAUCAAAUUCAUAUAUAUACAUGAGGAAUAGUAUUCAAAUUGAACUCUCAAAGUCUCAAUGUCAGUUAGAUUUUUGAUUGGCUACAAGAUUGACUUAAUGUAAUGGAAUUCAUUGAAAUAAAAGGUUUCGUUAUAAUUUUAAUGUCAACAGUCCUAUUUGGGUUCUUAACAUUUGACUCAAUACUAAAAUGAAGGGUUCUUGUAACCACCUAAUAUUUACAGAAAAUAAUUAUGGUUAUUUUUAAAAAAAAAAUAAAAAAAAUGAAAAUUUGAGGAUGGAAUUUAAAUUAAAUUCAUAUUUGAAAGUAAAUAUUUUAAAGUUCAAUGAAUUAAAAGACUAAAAUGAUUUUUAUUUAAAUGGAAAGGAUCAAAAGUAUUUGGAAUCAAAAAUUUUAUACAAAUUUAAUUUAAAUUUAUUUUUUUAAUUAAAUUUUAUGUUUAGAAUAUAAGAAGUUAUUUUUUUUAAUUUAUAAAAUUUUUAUUUCAAAAAAAUAAAAUUAAUUUUAUAAAAAUGUAUUCGAAUUCUUUUUCUGUGCAAUAAUUAUAUCAAAUGGUAGGUGAAUACUUCUGCUACCUCCACGUGGCUUCAUAUCCUCCAUAGAAAGAAAAAGAAGAAGAAAAAAGUUAAAAAAAGAAAGAGAAGAAUUGGGAGAGGGUUUUUCUGUUUGAUUUUCUUUUAUAUUCUUACCUUGCACGUACACUAAUUUAGCACAACUUUUCUGAUAAUUUAAAUUAAUUCAAAUAAUUUUUAAAUCUAUUUAAAAAUUGUAGAAUUUAUGUAGUUUAUGCAUAAACUAAAAGAAAUUUAUAUUAUAAUUCUUAAGAUUUAGUAAAACUCACAAUUUAAUACUUGCUUAUUUAAUAGUAAAAAAUUUAAUUUUUAAUUUUUUAUAUAAAUUAAAUAGAUUCAAAUAUUAUUCAUAUAAUAAUAAUCAUAAUAAUCAAAUGAAUAACAGAGUUAGAUAAUUUAAUAUAAAUUUUAAUUGGGUAUGAAAUGAUAAAAUAUUAAAAAUAAUAAUUGAAUCUAGUUUUAGGUCCGGUGAUUUUUGUGUGUAUCUCGGUAGCUAUCCUCCCUCUAUUUCUCCGCCUCACGUUCACCUUGAACUUUCAGCAGUACUAAGUUUGAAGAAAGAAUUUCUAAAGCAAAAUUCUCUUUUCAUUAGCAAAUUCAAUGAAUUUUCCAUUUUCGUGCAAAUGGGAAAGAGAAGACUUGGGUGAUCGACUGGAUGACUAACCAGAAAAAACUUUAUCCAUAUAUUUACCAAUUACAGAAAAAAAAAAAAGGAAAAGAAACUACGGGAUGAGCAUAAAAGUAGUCGGUCUUCAUUUUCCCAGCUCCUAGAGAAGGCACAAAAAUUCCUGAUCUAAUGAUGCGCCAUUUUCUUAAAAGGUUUCCCUAGCCAUUCAAAGUGAUGUAGGAACAGUGCACCUAAAAUACAGCUUCAAUGCUGAGAGAGAAGUGGCAUUAUUGUCCUAUCCUACCUACCUUAUCCUCCUUUUUACCCACCAUAUCCCAUGUAUCAACCCUCACUUUUCCAUCUAAGUACAGCACACCCUGAUCCAAGAGACCUCCUCCUCCACCACAAGAAUCAGUAGCCUCUGUUGUCCAAGUAAGCAAGUAAAGUGAAAAUGACAGAGUAUCUAAAGGGGGCGUAGUAACAGAAUUUUGGUAUGUUUUCAUUGUUGUUAUUAAACGAAUUGAUUGAAAAAACUCAUAUUUAUAUUAUUUUAUAUUUUAAUUUAAAUCACUAUUAGGAAAGACAUUCAAUUUAGCUGAAGAAUCAGUGGAUAGUUUUGCUUUACGAGGUAUGUGGCUGAACUAAACAAGAGGCAAGGCACCCAGGCAAUUCACAAUAGAGUUUAGGAUUAAAGAGGUUCUCCAAGCAGCCGAGAUGAGAUCGGUAACCCAUGACAAAGCAAUCUUUAAAUCUAUUUGAUAAAAAUGCUUUCGCAAGAAGUAGCAAGAGGAAAACCUUUGGAAAUUUCCAAUCCAAAGCUUUAGCUCUACAAGAUUUGAAUUAAUGCAACCAACAUUACAAGGGAAGGAACACAAGAAUUACCUUCUGAAUUACGUAAAACAUCGCAAUACUACUAGGUCAAUGUUUGCCCAAAAAUGAGUUGUCCACAAUCCAUUUGAUGGAGACUUGUAGAAGACGACAGGGCACAAUUUCUACUGGUUAGACCAAAGCACGAAUAGCGAUAGAGGACGCAAUAAAAUAGUUAUUGGCCACACAAUUACUUCAAAGGUCGACGGGACUUUAGUAUUGGACACACAAUUACUUCAAGAGGAGACCAGAAUAUAGCAAAGAAGAGAGUGCUCCAGAAUUUUCUUUGAAAGUUCCCAAAGCAAAGAGAAUUCCAUUCUUCUGUGAAAGAUGCAACUGAGGGUAAGCAAAAUUAAACAUUUCACCAACAAAGAAACCAAUUUUACACUUCCUAAGCAAAUUUAUGAUGUAGAAAGAUAUGUGAUACAUAUUGAGCAUAAAAAAAUAGCAUUUGAAAUUAACUCGAAAUUACUUAGAAGCUCUUUUGUGCAAAGAUGAGCCUUACAAAUAAACAAAAGCUUGUCAUGUCUAGAUUGGCAUAAAAGUCAUAGAGUUGAGAAUACCCAAGAGUCGGUUAGCUGAAUCUAACUCCCAAGAAUCAAGAUUUCUUCUCCAACAAAAGAUUCCAAAACCAUGUUUCACCACCAUAAUCCAAUGUCUUUUACAAGACUAUUUGAAUUGGAAGAUAAUACAAGGCUCUUAGGAAUGCAUAUUUCAAGUCGGUAUCGAGAGCCCAAAUAUCAUGCUAAAAGGAAGCCUUAUCACCACAAUCAAUUGAGAAACUAAUAAAGUCAAAAACCCAAAAAUUUAGUGAUGGAAAGGAUUGGGAAUAUCGUGUCUGGCCCAUUAAAAAAAAAAAAUUCUUAAACUUAUAUAUAUAAAAAAAUAUUAAAAAAAAUUAUUAAAAUAAAAUUAAAAAAACAAUAAAUAAAAAUAAAAAAUAAUAAAAUGAACUAGUUUUGGAAAGGUUCCGAAACCAGAGUACUCACCCUCUUCCUAAAAAACAGAGUAAAACUCGGUUAUUUAAAUUUUUUUUUUUAAUCUAAACAUUCUAUUUCCCAACACAAUCAAUAUAGACUUUCAAAAUUCUGAGUUACAUUUUUAUUUAAAUAAAUAUUCUAACCGGAAAUUUAAUAAUUUCUUUCAGAAGUUUUAAUAUUUAGAUAAGUGAGUUUUAUCCAUUUUAUUCGGAUUAUUACGAUAUAAUUUAUUUUCUCUACCAUUAAAUAGUAAUUUUUGUGAUUUGAGAAUUAAAAUGAGAUAAGUUUUAGUUAGACCAAUUAAUGAGAUUCUUUUUUUUUUAUUGAUAAUUUUCAUAAAUUGAUCCAAAUAAUAUUUAUAGUUUAUUGUGUAUUUUUAUUGAGUCUGUGUAAUUUUGAGAAGUCUAGUUAUGCCGGAUCCAAAUAAUAUUUAUAGUUUAUUGUGUAUUUUUAUUGAGUCUGUGUAAUUUUGAGAAGUCUAGUUAUGUCGGAAUAUUGCCGAAUUUUUCUUAAAUAUAUAUAUAUAUAUAUAUAUAUAUAUUUUACAUUUUAUAUUUUCAUCCUAGAAUAUUUGUUUAUAACUUGAUAUAUUAUUUUUCUUCUUAAUUUUAGGGGAGGACCCAGCUUCCAGUAUAGAUAAUAGGGGUGUUCCUGCGAUCUAAGUUUAUUUUGUCCUGAGUACUGGUGAGUGGAUAAAUAUAUAAUAUUGAUACUUUUCUUAAACAUAUAUUUAUAUAUAUGCUAUUUUAUUUAUUUAAAAUGAGAAUGGAUAAAACGAAUUCAUAUUUCUUGAAUUAAUGAAAAUUGAAUUUAAAGUAUAGCUGAAGAAAUAGCCGAUUACACUCUGUAUAUGCACCGAAUAGAUAACACCCUGAUAACAUGUGAUUUAUUUUCAGCUUAGCAUAUAUUUAUAAUGUCUUUAGGACAGCGCUUGAUAUACACACAGCCUUUGGAACGUAUGUCAGGUGGUCACUCUCUGGAGGUAGCUCUGCACAUGUGCAUGACAAGUAUUUUAUUAACUCUUGGGCCAAUAUUAUCAUUAUAGAGCCUAAGAUGUCAAUAUUGCUCUCAGUCUGUCAUUAUUUUAUUUUAUCACACCUGAGAUGCCAACAUUAUCCACAGAGAGUAUAUUUUGAGUGUAUGAGAAUUUUAUUUAUCAUAUUUAUGAUUUUUGAAUUUAUUAUUUUAGAAGUGAUAUCUUAACAAUUUGUAUUCAGCUUAAUUUUUAAUUGAAUUAAAUUGUAUUCAUUCAGUUGACCUAUUUUAACUAAAUAUUUGGUACCAUUAAGUACCUAAAUUUUAUCUUUUCUCCUUUGUUAUUUAUUUAUCUGCUCACUGAAUGGAUUGUUCUCACCCCUUAUACUUUUAAUAUUACAUAUCCUUUUUGGUGAUCUACUCCUAGCAGUCUACAUCUUCUAGUUUUGUCCUUUCUUUCACUUUGUUUGCUCAGAGUCUAAUGGAGGUUGGGCCAAUCCUAAACUCUUUGUAACUUUUUGUAAUUUUGAAAGAUAAUAUAUAAAUUAUAUAUUCAAAUGCUGGAUGUAUUUUAUUUGAUGUAAAUAUAUUAUGAAUUGAUUAGACCAGCCAUCAGUCAUCUUUUAUAUGUUUUAAUAUUUUAAAAUUGCAGCAGGUUAUACAUAUUUAUAUCUAUAUAUAUAUAUAUAUAUUCAAGAAAAAUUCUAUCAGUUUUUCGAGUCAUAUCCGUCUCUAAAGAUUUAGAGAAUGAGUGUGACAAUUUUUGGUAUCAGAGCUUAGAUUUAUAGAUUAUGUAGACUUUUCUUGAGUUAGUAUCCUUAAUUAUAUUUUGAUAAUUCUUUUGUAUUUUCGUUUGUAGGACAAUGCGGCCCAUAGUAGGUAAUAGAAGUCGAGGCUGUGGUGUUCGUACAGCUAGAUUAGCUGAUAUUGGUCGACCUCAUAGGGAUCCUACAGUUACACCUCCACCUCUAGAAGGGGUGGCAGAUCAUGUUUUACCUGAGAGCAGAGAAGGGCAUAGAGAUUCUGUUUCUCAUGGUGUUGAAUCAGGGGCAUAUCUGACUGCACCACCGCCUCCUUCGGCACCCGCAGUUGCAUCUCCAGUCGCAUCUGCAGCUCCACCUCUUGUUCUACCUGUAGCACUAGCCAAUCCUUUUUAGAUAAAUAUAGACCUGGGUGCUUUUGUAGCACAAGUAGUUACAACAGCUGUUACAGCUAAACCUAGAGAUCUGUGGGAGAUAGUAGAUCGUGCUAGACAUUUGGGGGCUUAUGAUUUUGAGGGUUCUUCUGAUGAUGAUAUUGCAAAUAAAUGGUUAAAGAAAGUGAUAAAAGUGUUUGAAUUAAUGAAGCUGACUGAUGCAGAUAAGGUAUAUAAUGUACAUGGAUUGCUUCAGGAUAAGGCUAAUGAUUGGUUUGAUGGCAUACAUCGCAGACAUGGAGUCAGAUUGACUUGGGAUCAAUUUAUAUAUGAAUUUCGCCAGGAGUAUUUGUCAGAAAGUUACAGGAAGGGAAAAAAGAAUGCCAUUUUCAGGUUGUUUCAAGGAAGCCUCUCAAUAAGAGAGUAUAUUGACAAGUUUGAAGACCUCUAUUGCUUUGUUUUAGACAUACUGCCUUCUGAGGAAGCUAAAUGUGACAGAUUUAGACAGGGUCUACAUGUCAAUAUCAGAUCAUCUAUGACCUGGUUCAAAGGUAAUAAUUUUAGAGAAUUGGUAGAAGCAACCUUGAAUGUUGAAAAAGUUAAGCAAGAAGAGAAAGAGUAUGAGCAGAAGAUGAGUAGAAAGCAUAUGCAGGGUUCACAGGGGUUCAGAGAGAGACCAGCUAAGAGAGAGAGCAGUUCAUUUCAGUCCAAAACUGAAUACAGUGGUAGUAGUAGAGGUUCUUUUGUCAAUACAAAGUAGCAGGUUACUCGACCACAGUUUAGUCAGAGUUCAGUAGCACAACCAGUGGGUAGUUUCUUUGGGGCAUAGAAACAUGGGCAAGGGCAAUGAUAUAAUUUUGGGUUUGAACAAAAGAAGAGACAUUUUCCUCAAUGUGCCGCUUAUGGUAAAUAUCAUGCCGGGAAGUGCAGAAAAUGCGAUAAGGGUUGUUUUGAAUGUGGUUCUUCGGGACAUUUUAAGAAAGAUUGUCCAUUGCUGAUGGCUAGAGACAGUGGUUCUCAGCAAGGAUAGAUGGUGCUUCAGAAUCUAAAGUAUGGUAUAACACCAUCACAGGGUGUACCUACAACACAAGCUGGGCCUAGUGCAAGCAAAGCCAGUGGAGCUACUUCAUCUUCUCAAUCUAGACCAAUGAUACAACCUGGUAGACCUCACACUUAGGCCAGAGUCUUUGCUAUGACACAAUAGGAGGCAUGAGCAUCUCCAGAGGUGGUGACUGGUAUGUUAACUAUUUUUGAUAAAGAUGCACACAUUCUUAUAGAUCCUGGUUCCACUCACUCUUUUAUAUCUCAAUCAUUUUCUGUGCAUGCUGAUAGAGAAUUAAAACCCUUAGAUUGUGGAUUAGUUGUGGGUACUCCAGUUAGGGAUUCUGUUGUAUGUGAACAUGUGUAUAGGAAUUGUGUUGUUAAUUUGGGCAAUCAUGAGUUGUUAGUAGAUUUGAUUCCUUUGUAUCUACAAGAUCUGGAUGUUAUCCUAGGUAUGAAUUGGUUAUCCCGUCAUCAUGCCACAGUAGAUUGCUUUGAGAAAUCAAUGGUAUUUAAUAGUUCAGAAGGAUCUAAGUUCACUUUUUUUGGGGAGAGGCAUUUACUCCCUUCUUAUAUGAUUUCCACCAUGACCACUAGGAAGAUGCUUCGGAAGGGUUGUCAAACGUACUUAGCGUAUGUGAUGGACAGUAGCCUAGAAAGACCUAAAUUGGAAGAUAUACCAGUAGUAAGCGAGUUUCCUAAUGUAUUCUCUGAAGAGCUUCCUGGGUUGCCUCCAUAUAGAGAGAUUGGAUUCUCUAUUUAUUUAAAUCUAGGUACAGCUCCUAUUUCAUGGCACCAUACAGAAUGGCUCCAGUAGAAUUGAAGGAGUUAAACGCACAAUUGCAAGAGCUACUUGAUAAAGGUUUCAUAAGACCAGUGUUUCACCUUGGGGAGCCCCUGUGCUAUUUGUGAAGAAGAAUGAUGGUUCCUUAAGGCUAUGUAUUGACUACAGACACUUAAAUCGAGUCACAGAGCGAAAUAAGUAUCCUUUACCCCGCAUUGAUGAUCUUUUUGAUCAUCUCCAAAGUGCUAAGGUGUCCUCUAAGAUUGAUUUGUGGUCUAGGUAUCAUCAAUUGAAGAUCAAGGAGUCUGAAAUACCUAAGACAGCUUUUAGAACUCGUUAUGGGCAUUAUGAGUUUCUCGUUAUGCCUUUUGAGUUAACUAAUGUACCCGCUGCUUUUAUGGAUAUCAUGAAUAGGGUGUUCAAGCCCUAAUUGGAUAGCUUUGUUAUUGUAUUUAUUGAUGACAUCUUAGUAUAUUCUCGUAGCAAGGAAGAGCAUGAGAUGCAUUUACGGAUAGUACUGCAAAUUUUAAGGAAUAAGCAACUGUAUGCUAAAUUGAGUAAAUGUAAAUUCUGGCUUGAUCGGGUGGUUUUCUUAGGACAUUUUAUUUCAGCAGAUGGAGUUUUGGUUGAUCCUAAGAAGAUUGAAGCAGUAGUCAAUUGGGACCCUCCAACCAUUAUUACAGAGGUUAGGAGUUUUCUGGACUUAGCAGGGUAUUAUCGUCGCUUUGUUCAGGAUUUCUCCAUCAUUGCAGCACUAUUGACUAAACUUCUUCAAAAGAAUACAAAGUUUGAAGGGACAGAUGAAUGUCAAGAGAGCUUCGAGAAGCUUAAGACGUGUUACAUCAACUCCAGUCCUUACCUUACCCUCAGGUACAAGUGGAUUUGUGGUGUACAGUGAUGCUUCUCGCAAGGGUUUAGGCUAUGUACUCAUGCAACAUGGGAAGGUGAUAGCUUAUGCUUCUAGACAGCUUAGACCACAUGAAUUAAAUUAUCCCAUCCAUGACCUAGAAUUAGCUACAGUUGUGUUUGCAUUAAAGAUAUAGAGGCAUUAUCUUUAUGGCAGGACUUGCCAGAUUUUUACAGAUCACAAAACUUUGAAGUAUCUUCGCACACAAAAGGAGUUGAAUUUAAGGCAGAGACGGUGGAUUGAGUUACUUAAAGACUACGACUAUACCAUUGAAUGUCAUCUAGGCAAAGCUAAUGUGGUAGCUGAUACCCUUAGUCGCAUGUCCUUUAGUAAUUUAGGUUAUCUCAAAACAGUUUGGCUUCCCUUGUUACUAGAGAUCAGAUCCUUAAGGGUAGAACGAGCAGUGGAUGAUGCAAGAGCGUUAUUGGCAAAUCUCAAAGUUCGACCAGUUUUGAUAGAAAAAGUCAAAGAAGCCCAAAAUCAAGAUGAGCAGGUGAGUAAGAUCAGUAAUGAAGUAAGAGAUGGCACCCAUACCGACUUUUCCCUGAGGGAGGAUAGGACUUUAAUAUUUGGUGAUAGAUUAUGUGUACCCAAAGUGGAAAGCUUGAAGAGAGAGAUUAUGGAGGAAGUCCAUUGUUCUGCUUACUCUAUGCAUCUAGGUAGUACAAAAAUGUAUAGACAUCUUAAGGAAAAUUAUUGGUGGCCAGGCAUGAAGAAAGAAAUAGCCGACUUUGUGUCCACAUGCUUAGUAGGCCAACAGAUUAAAGCAGAACAUCAACAUCCAAUAGAAAAACUGCAACCGCUCUCUAUUCCAGAAUGGAAGUGGGAACACAUUACUAUGGAUUUUAUUUCUGGGUUGCCUCAUACUUCGCAUGGACAUAAUGCAGUAUAGUGAUAGUUGAUGGAUUAACCAAGUCAGCACACUUUUUACUUGUCAGGAUGGAUUAUUCUUUAGACAAAUUAACAGAGAUCUAUGUCAAUGAGAUUGUAAGACUCCAUAGUGCUCUAGUUUCCAUUGUUUCAGAUAAAGAUCCAAGAUUCACUUCUUGAUUUUGGCCUAGCUUGCAAAAUGCUUUGGGCACAAGUUGAAGUUUAGCACUUCCUUUCACCCUCAAACAGAUGGUCAAUCAAAAAGAACUAUUCAGACCUUGGAGGAUAUGCUGAGGGCUUGUGUGAUGAAGUUUAGAGGAAGUUGGGAUAGGUAUGUGCAUUUAAUGGAGUUUUCCUAUAAUAAUAAUUAUCAUGUUAGUAUCGGCAUGUCUCCUUAUAAAGCUUUAUAUGGGAGGUGAUGUAGAACACCAUUGUGUUAGAAUGAGAUAGGGAAAAGACAAUUAGAAGAUCCAAAAUUAAUGCAACACACUACAGAUAAAAUUCAGAUGAUAAAAAAUAGAUUAAAAGCAGCACAAGACAAACAGAAGAGUUAUGCAGAUCUGAAGAGAAUGGAUAUUGAAUAUAAUAUUGGUGACAAGAUAUUUCUUAAGAUCUCUCCUUGAAAAGGGGUUGUACAUUUUGGUAAACGUGAAAAAUUGAGUUUGCGAUUCAUAGGACCAUAUGAGAUUUUAGAGAAAAUUGGACCAGUUGCUUAUUGCUUAGCACUACCUCCAGAGCUAUCAUAGAUUCAUGAUGUCUUUCAUGUAUUUAUGUUAAGGAGAUACAGAAGUGAUCCUUCCCACAUCCUUCAUAAAUAACCUAUUGAAUUGAGAGAAGAUUUAACAUAUGAAGAAGAGCCAGUAGAGAUCAUUACCAAGAAGAUAGGGUUUUAAGGGGUAAGAUAAUACCCCUAGUUAAAGUUCGAUGGAGUAACCACUCUACUAAAGAAGCUACUUGGGAAAAAGAAGAGAAUAUGCGAAUUUAAUUGUCACAUUUAUUCAUUUCACCAGGUAUAUAAAAUUUCGAGGACGAAAUUUCUCUUAGAAGGAGAGAAUUAUCAUACUCGACCCAUUAAAAAGAAAAAAAAAGUCCAUAAACUUAUAUAUAUAUAUAUAUAAAAUUAUAAAAAAAUUAUUAAAAUAAAUAAAUAAAUAAAUAAAAAUAAUAAAAUAAUAAAAUAAAAACAUUAAAAGCUUUAGUAUUGGAAAGGGUCCCGAAACAAGAUCAUUCACCAUCUUCUUCCUCGUGAAGAAACAGAGCAAAGCUCUAUUAUUUGAAAAAAAUGAAUUUCCUUUUUAAUCCAAACCUUCUCCUUCUCAACUCAAUCAAUCCAUAAAUUUUUAAAAUUCUCAGUUGAAUCCUUAUUUAAAUCAAUAUCCUGACCGGAAAAUCAAUAAUUUCUUCCAUAGGCUUCAAUAUUUGGAUAUGUGAGUUUUAUUCAUUUUAUUCAGAUUAUUACGAUAUAAUUUAUCUUCUUUACUAUCAAAUAGUGAUUUUUGUGAUUUGAGAAUUAAAAUGAGAUAAGUUUUAGGUAGACCAAGAGAUUCUUUUUUUUUUUUUUUGGAUUGAUAAUUUUCAUAAGUUGAUCCAAAUAAUAUUUAUAGUUUAUUGUGUAUUUUUGUUGAACUUGUGUAAUUUUAAGAGGUCUAGUUAUGCCGGAAUAUUGCCGAAUUUUUCUUUAUAUAUAUAUAUAUCCAUUUUAUUUGUAUAGCAGAAUAUUCUAUUAUAUUUUUAUGGUUUUUAUCAAAAUUAUAUUUUAUUUUUACUGAAUCCGUUUCUUCCAAAAUACUACAAUAAUAUUCUUGAGGUUUUGAAAUAUCUUUUGGUGUAAAAUUCUGAUGGUGUGUUAAACUAAAAGGCAUCACGUUCCAUUCAUAUUGUCCAAACGGAACAGUAAAUGCAGUCUUAUAUCGAUCUUUAGGAUGUAUUUGAAUGUGCCAGUAACUUGAUUUCAUAUCAAAUUUACUAAAAAUAUUAGCAUUAAAUAAUUUAUUUAAAAUGUCUUUUUUAUUUUGAAUUGAGUACCUAAUCUAUUUUAGUGUUUUAUUUAAUGGUUUAUAAUUUAUAACUAGUCUAGAUGUUUCUCUUUCAAUUUCUACAUUUUUAUUAACAUAAAAAGCUGCAUAUGACCAAGGACUCCUCAAUUUACUUAUUAAUUUCUUUUCUUCAAGGCUUUUAAUUUCCUUUUUACAAUGUUCCAUUACAUAUGGUUUCAUUUGAAUUGAUCUUACUUUAGUUGAUAUCAUUCUUUCAUCAAAAUUUUCUUCAUAUGGUAAGUCUACUAUAUGUUGUUUUCUAUUCCAAAAAGCAUUUGAAUGUUCCGAACAUAAUUCCUUUUCCAUAUAAUUUCUUAAAAUUUUUAUUUUAGUUUUUACAAAGUUUUGUUCUAAUUGAUUUUUUAUUCUAUUUAAAUGUACAUUAUUCUUUAAAUUUCUUAAGUUUUCUGUCUUGGAUUUUAUUAUUGAAUUUAUUUCCAUUACCCUAAUGGAAUGUGCUUUUAUUAAAUUUAAAUUUUUUCUUUUUGGUUUCUCUGUAAAUACUAAUCUGAUUGUUUUGUUUUUUGUUUUAAAUUUUAUACAAUAAUCUUUUACUGAAUAAGGUGUUGUAAGAUUUAUAAAAGGUGUUCCUAGUAUUACCAUGUGAUUUAUUUAUUGGGAUAAUAAAAAUACAGUUUUUAUUUCUAAAUCCUGAUUUACUAUUACUGCUUUUGCCUUUCCUAAAAUAUUUAAAUUAAUUUUAUUUGCUGUUGUUAGUUUCUCUUUAGUUUCUUUCCAAAAUCUUUUAGGUAUUAGGCUUGAUUUAUACAGUUCAGAUCUACUCCUGUAUCAAAUAAUGCUAUGAUACCUUAUAAAUUCUUCUGAUAAUUUAAUUGUCAAUUUUAUUAAAUAUUUUCUAGAAAUUAUUUCUUGCAAUAAUAAUAUGAAAUUAUCAUCUAUUUCUUUACUAUCUAAUUGACUUAUUUCAUUUUAUUCAUCCUCCUCAUCUCUUUCGGAUGAAGAUGAUGAUUCAGAAAUUAAUUGUUCUUCCAAUAGUUUUAUCUUUUUUGCAUCUUUUUGAAUUUGAUUCUUUAAUUCUUGUACUUCUGCUUUUAUUAUUCUUAUUUCUUUAUGUAAAUCUUCUAUAGAUAUUUUUUCUUUUAAUUAUUUAUUUUUAUUUAGUAUUUUAGUUAAAUCAUAAGUUUGUUUAUUUAUUUUAGGGAUAUUGUGGUCAAUUUCUUCUACUUCAUCAAAUCUUUUAAUUAAUUUUUUAAGGAAUUUUUCUUUAGUGUUACUAUCUUCAAUAUUAUUUAUUAAUUCUAAUAAUGAAUUUUGUUCUUUAGUUAAAACACUUAUUGAUUUUUUUGACGAACUAGUAUGUAAUUCAUCUAUUUGAUUUUCACUUUCCAUUAAUCUGAUCCUGAAGUUUCUGAGUCUAUGUAUAAUUCUUGAAUUUUAUUUAUCAUUUCUUCCUCUAAAUUUAAUUCAUUUAGUUUUUUUAUUAAACUUACAGAAUUUAGAUGUAUGUCCUUUCUUUCCAUAAUUAUAGCAUGUUAAAUCUUUAAAUGAUUUUUUAUUUUGGGUUUUACAUGGUUGUGCAUUCUUUUUAUAUUUCCUAUGGGGUUUAUAAUUUUUCUUUUUAUAAUAUUAUUCUUUACUUGGUUUUGCUAUGUAUCUUUUUUUGUAAUAUUGAUUCUUCUUAUAAUAUUUUCUUGGUUGUGAUUUUGAACAUUGACCAUUACAACUCUUAUUUUGACCUAUUCCAUAAUCAAAUUGUUUACAAAAAAAUCCUAAUUCUUGUUUAGUUUUAUACAUUUCAUAUUUUAAAGUUUUUUGUAAUUUUAAAUCAUGACAAAUUUGUAAACCUUCCUUUUGAAUUAUACUUAUUAGCUGUCCAUAUGUCAUUUUACUAUACGGUAUUGGGUUUUCGAAUUGUUGUUUUAUAUUAUUUCUUACAUUUUCUCCAAGAAAAUAAGGAAGUCCUACUAAGAAUUUUUCUUUCUAAAAAUCUUGAUUUGAAUCUUCUCUUAACAUUAACCUAGUAAAAAAUGUAGUUUUAUAAUACUGAAAGUCACUUAAUUUUUUACAUUUUAAAUUACUUAAUAAUUCAGCAUUUUUAUCUUUUAAAUGAGACGAAUCUCCUAUAAAAGGAAAUUGUUAAGAUUAGUGUUGAUACUGCAUCUUGUAUAGUUUCUCCGUUCUCAUUAUAUAUCGGUUCUCCUUGACUAUUUAUUUGAAUCGAAUUUAAUAUGUCUAAUUGUUCUUGAUCUAUUAAGUGGUAAUCUCACCAGCCUUUUAGUUGUCCUAUAAAUCCUGCUAUAAUUAUUUCAGCAAUUACUCUAUUAGAAGCAAACGACUGAGUUUUAUAUGCUUUAGCUGCCAUUGUUAUUUGUUGUAAUAAACUUAAAAUAUUAUAUUCAGAUAAUCCAUCAUUGUUAUUUGUUGUAAUAAACUUAAAAUAUUAUAUUCAGAUAAUUCAUCUAUAUUCCAUUCAUAUACUGUUGAAGCAUUAUAUUUAAAUUGAGAAGUAAUAUUUGGUUUAUCUAAGAUUCCUAAUUCUGGUGCUCUACUAACUAUUUCUUUAUGUACCAUAGGAUUCAUUUCAAAUUAUUUUAUAUCUUCUAAUUUUGGAUGACUUUGUUCAGUUUCAGUUUCCGAUUCUUCUUCUUUUAUUACAUUUAUAUUUCUUGACUGAGGUGUUUCUGGUGCUACAUUUUUAGUGGAUUCUGAAGAUUCUAUUUUACUUAGAUGGUCUUUUAAAGUUUGUAAGAAUUCAUCUUUAUUCUUUAAUUCCUUUUGACUGGAGCUAGAUAUUGGUAUGGUUUAAAGAUAUGUGACUUUAUUUUUGGUUUUAUUUCUUCUUUUUCUUCUAUUUGUUUAUUUUUUAAAAGAUUUUCCAUCUUUUUUAAUUGAGUACCUAUGCAUAUUAGACUUGCAUUAUUAAAAUUAUUUUGUUCUAUUAUCUUUUUAUCUGUAUCAUUUUCUUUAGCUAUUUUAUAAGGUGUACAGAUUAUUUCUUUAUCUCCAUGUAAUAUUUUACUUAUGGUUUUAGGUGGAAAUUCACUUUGAAUUACUGUAUCAUUUACUAUCCAUUCUGGUCUUUUGUCUCUUACUGUUAUUGAGUUAAUAUUUUUUGUUUUAUAUAACUUGAACCACUUAAAAAAUUUUAUUUUUUCAUUAUUUUCAUUAAUAUAUUCAAAAUAUUUUUCCUUUAAUUUUUCAAAAUUAUUUUCUUUGACUAUUUUAUUUAAUUUACUUAAAUUUUUUGUUUUUGUUAUUUCUUUGAUAAAUUUCUUUUCAAUCUCUUCUUUACUAAUUACAUUUAAUUCCCUAUUUAUGUUAUUUAUAUUUUCCGUUAUGGCUGAUGCCGAUGGUGAGGAUGGCGGUGAAGUUGCUAGGUUAGCCUGUUGAUUUAUAUAAUUUUCUACUGGAUUAUAUACUGCUUGUGGAACUGAAGAACUAUAAUUUACUUCUUUCAUUUUAAGAUGUUUACUUAAAUCUGGAAUAUCUGAUGUUGAAAAUCUAGGUUUUACUAAAGUUUGGAUUAUGGGUUUAGGUUCACUUUCUUUAUAUUUUGCAUAUAUUACUGAUGGUAUAUUUGACUCUAUUCCUAUAUCUUUUGUUACUACUGAGGAUGAUGAUCCUGUAUACCGACUACUUAUACUUCUAUUGAAUUUUAGUGAAACUUUUCCAUCUUCAAACUGUUCAAUUUUACUUAAAUUUGUAUUUGGUUUUACUUUUUCUUGUUCUGGUGGAGGUACUAUACCUUCUAAUAUCCAUUCAUCUGACAAUGUUAUAUCCUUCCAUUGAAUUAUUUUAGAAAUUACUAUAUUUGUUUUAGUUAAACAUGUUUGUCAAAAUCUUGUUUCUCCCAUUUUUGGUUGUAAGUUAUACUUAGUUCCAAAUGCUAAAUUCAUAGCUUUAUAAUGAAUUUUAUAUAUUAUUGCUAUUGGGAUAGAACUUUGUUUCAUUUUAUAAUUAUGAGUUUUUAUUUCUAAAACAAUACUUUCCAAAAUAUUUAAAUCAUUUAAUAAUAUUGUCAUAUCUGGGUAUACUUCAAAGGAUAUUGGUCCUUCAUUUAAACUGGUUUCAAUAGAUCCUAAUAAAGAAUCUUAAAAAUUUAAAAAUCUUGCAUCUCUUACUACUGCCAAAAUACUAGUAUUUAAUCCUUCACGUGUCAAAGGUUUUAUACCUACUUGUAUUAAUCCAAUAUGAAUAUACUUAUAUUUUUUACUUCUAUGGUGAUUUAGUGUUUUUGCUGAUAGUAGAAUUAUUUUUUCAAAAUGUUUACUUAAUUGAAAAUCUCUUUCAGUUUCUAUUACAUAGUCUAUUUUAAAAAUAUUUAACUUUGGAAUUUUAUAAAUCUGUUCUUUAUCUACUUUAGGAAUUUUCCAUUCAUCAAUAGCUUUAACAAAAUCUUCUAAUAUUAACUCAUUUUUAUUUAUUACUCUUUUGAUUUCUGAAGACUCCGAAUCAUAUGAUUUAACUGUACUUGCCGAUUUACACAAAAAGGAUCCAUUUUCUAAAAUUUUGAAUUAUGUUGCGGUCACUGCUUGUUAUAUCCUAAAAUGUCUACCACUGGCUUAAAAACGGGUUCAGUUGGCAUACUCAAAACUUAUUCAUAAUUUUUCAAAAAUGGAUUUUUUCAGUGUACUCAAUAAACAAGGCUCUGAUACCCACAAAAAUUAAGGAUCGUUUAUACAAGAGUACAACAAAACUUAAGGAUCGUUUAAAUAAAAACACUUACUAAACAAAAUCACAAAAAUUAUAUCAAGGUUUUAAAAUUAGUGGUUUCCAAGAUCACAGCCAAAUUUGGCUCCCAAGAUCAUAGCCAAGUAAUAACAGUAAUUAACAAAAUUUAUUAAUUGGUUUAGGGUUCUUGCAACCUUAAACUGGGAUCCCCAGAAUUAAGUCAGAUUGUAGAGGGAGAAGAGAAAGGUGCCGUCAACAUGGACUUACAAUGUAAACAUAUAAAUAACUUACUACAUAUAUAUAAUUCACAUUUUACGUUUUAUAUUUUCAUUCUAGAAUCUUUGUUUAUCACUUGAUAUAUUAUUUUUCUUCUUACUUUUAGGGGAAGACCUAGCUUCCAGUAUAGAUAAUAGGGUUAUUCCUGCGAUUUAAGUUUAUUUUGUUCUCGGUACUGGUGAGUGGAUAAAUAUAUAAUAUUGAUACUUUUCUUAAACAUAUAUUUAUAUAUAUGCUAUUUUAUUUAUUUAAAAUGGAAAUGGAUAAAACGAAUUCAUAUCUCUUGAAUUAAUGAAAAUUGAAUUUAAAGCACAGCCGAAUAAAUAGCCGAUUACACUCUGUAUAUGCACCGAAUAGAUAACACCCUGAUAACAGGUGAUUUAUUUUUAGCUUAACAUAUAUAUAUAUAUACUGUCUUUAGGACAACGCUUGAUAUACACACAACCUUUGGGGAGUAUGUCAGGUAGUCACCCUCUGGAGGUAGCUCUGAACAUGUGUGUUACUAGUAUUUUAUUAGCUUUUGAGCCAAUAUUGUCAUCAUAGAGCCUAAGAUGCCAGUAUUGCUCUCAGACUGUCAUUAUUUUAUUUUAUCACACCUCAGAUGUCAGCAUUAUCCAUAUGGAGCAUGUUUUGAGUGUAUGCAGAUUUUAUUUAUCAUAUUUAUAAUUUUUGGAUUCAUUAUUCUAGCAGUGAUAUCUUAACAAUUUGUAUACAACUUAAUUUAUAAUUGAAUUAAAUUAUAUUUAUUCAGCCGAUCUAUUUUAACUAAAUAUUUGGUACUAUUAAAUAUCUAAAUUUUAUCUUUUCCCCUUUAUUAUUUGUUUAUCCGCUCACUGAGUAGAUUGUACUCACCCCUUAUACUUUUAAUAUUACAGAUCUUUUUUGGUGAUCCACUCCUAGCAGUCUACAUCUUCUAGUUUUGUCCUUUCUUCCACUUCGUCCGCUUAGAGUCUAGUGGAGGUCGGACCAAUCCUAAGUCCUUUAUAACUUUUUGUAAUUUUGGAAGAUAAUGUAUAAAUUGUAUGUUCAAGUGCUCGAUAUAUUUUAUUUGAUGUAAAUAUAUUAUGAAUUGACUAGACCAGCCAUCAGUCCUCUCUUUUAUGUUGUAAUAUUUUAAAAUUGCAGCAGAUUAUACGUAUUUAUAUAUAUAUUCAGGAAAAAUUUUAUCAGUUUUUCGAGUCAUAUCCGUCUCUACAAAUUAGAGAAUGGGUGUGACAGGGAAUCUUUAAUACUUUUCCAAACAUUUGAUGAGCUUCUAUCGGAAGAUAAGAAUAGGCUAUUGAGCUAACCCAACCUAGAAAGAUCAAGCAUAUUUGUAUGAGGUCUAUCCCUUUCUCUGGGUAUCCUUCCUUGUGCUUUGUCUUGAGUUUUGGUUUCCUUUGGUGAACCUCCUUAUCUUCCUUGCCUUGAUCUCCUUCCUGCCUCUUCUCUUCACACUUGUUCUUUUGGCCCUAGCUUCUUUAUCUCCCAAGUACCUCUUGUCCUUUUAACCAUUGCCUCCUUUCUUUCCACACUAACUUCCACUACUUCUCUGUCCUAGCCUUCACAUCUUGAACCUACCACCAUGUCAGACAUUGAAGGAAACAUGAUGGACAUCAUUAGCAAAGCUUAAAAACUUCAAUUUCAAGAUUCUAUACUACACCUAGAAAUAGAUUAUAAUAGCACCAAACAAUUGCAGAAAAGGUUACUCGUGGGCAAGAUUAUCUCCUCAAAAACCUUCAGUGCAAUGACGGUGAAAGCUGCACUCACAAAAUCAUGGCGCACAAGACUGUAAUUUCACACUUUCCAAAGGAAAUAAUAAAUUCCUCUUUUCCUUUGGACAUGAAGUGGAUUUGAAUUAUGUCAUGCAAAACCGACCAUGGAGCAUUCACAAUCAACUUCUCUAUCUAAGAAAAUGGCCUUCUGACUUAGCAUUCCAUGACAUUCCCCUCCAUGAAUCCCAUUUCAAACUUACCACCAAACAAAGUCACUCCAAACAAUGCAAAAACCAUCGACAACUUCCUUGGAUGAUAUCUGAAUCAUGAAUUCUCACAUGAUGGCUCACUCAUUCUACCAAAUCUUCUGAGAAUCCAAGCCAUAAUAAACAUUGAGAAACCACUCAUUACUGGGUUUCACAACAGAAAAGACAAUGGAAAAUUACAAUGGAUUCAAUUUAAAUAUGAAAAACUCCCUAAUGUUUGUUACAAAUAUGGAAGAAUUGGACACCUCAACAAGAAUCAUGAAAUUCAGCAAUGAAUCAAGGAAGCUCAAGCCAAUCCAAGGAGAAAUAUGGUCCAUGGUUGAAGAUGGCUACACCUCCAAAAGUUCAAAAUGCAAGUCAAGUUGUCUUACCAAACCUACAGAAUGAUAAAACCAAGGAAAUUGAUAGGAAUUGCACCACCUCUACCAAGAACUUGAGAAGUCAAGAGCCAUUGACAUAAGACCAACUAGAACAAGUCCCGCAAAUCUCUCCAUCUAUACAAAACCAUAACACCUUCAAUUCUAGAUUACCAAACUCAUUGCCUAUCUUAGCCUUCGAAGCCACCACCCACAACCACUUGAACCAUAUGCAAUCUGGAAAAAAACCUUUUUUCUCUUGUUCCUAAUUCACCAAUGACAACGUAUCCACAAAAUAGCUCCCUACCCAAUAUACACUAGAUUCCAUACACAGUAUCAUCUCCAAACCUAGAAUUACCUUGAAAAACCCAUAUGAAUUCCCAUGGCUCGCUAUUUGCAUCAGCGUCGAUUGCAGCUUCUACUGCUGGCAAGGAACAGAUCAUGGGGAAUCCACAACAAUUUGCUCGUUCAGAUCCGCAUUAGAGUAUCCUUUCUUGCAAAGGAAAGGUUCAAGCUUUUCAAGAAAAACCUUCAUGCUCCUACUAAAAUGACGAUAUUUUUAGUAGUGUGCUAGCUCCACAGACUCACCACAGUACCGACAUGACUUUAGAGGAAAUCUCAAUCCUCUUCAGAGAAUAUCUCGCUACUUUAGGAUUUACUCAGGUCAACACCCAUUAAUUUUUUUAAGACUUUUCCUUUUUGCUAAACUACUUCAAACAAGAAGUUGAAAAAAUCUUUACCGAAUCGCAAAAAUAAACCACAUCCUCUGAAAAUCCCAACACACCAAUUGACUCUUUUUCUCUCUCGUAUAAUCUUAACUUCUUAGACCAAAACUCACCACCUAAGCCCAUACCUAGCGCAACUCUUAAUACCAGACCACAUACCUUUAAUGAAACCAUCUUGAGCCAACUGCAUUAUCCAAGCCCAUGGGAAGAGAGGAAAACAAAUUCCCUUAUCAAUAGCCUACCUUUUUCUGUUCCAACUAGAGAAAUGGACCCCUAAAAACUUAUUCCUUUUGAAGACUUGAUCCAAAUUGCUAGCCAUCCUACCAAGCCUUCGACAAAUAACUCACUUGAAACUCAAGCAAUUAACUUGUAUGAGGAACCUAUUGUCAACUUUGACCAAUAAUUUUUCUAAAACCGUAACCUAAAACAGAAUUGGAAAAGGAAAGUCAGAGAAAAAGGAAGAUCUUUAUCAAUUGUCAUCUAGGAAAUUGAGAUUAUACCAAAAGAAACCAACCAUAUUGGAUAUGAUGAAACUUGAGAAAAAAGACAUAGAGCUACAGAAAUAGAGAAUGAAGCAAAGAAGCAAUGCAUCAAACCUAAUACUUCUGAAACGGUGGAGGUAGCUAGCCGAGAGUGGCCCCAAUUGGAUCAAUGAAACUGCUCUCGUGGAAUUGUUAAGGUGUGGGGAACCCUUGACAUUCCAUAAUUUGAAAAGGAUCUGUCAAUCCCAUUUCCCGGAGGUUUCUUUUCUCAUUGAAAUGAAGAAUAAAAACCAUUUUAUGAAGAGAAUUUUGCAGAAAUGUGGGUAUACUGAUUUUGCUUUUGUUGAACCUAGGGGCUUAGUAGAAGGCCUUAGUUUAGCCUGAUAUUCUGAUUAUGAUAUAUCUAUUUGUAUGAAAGAGAUUUCUUCCUCCAUGCUUGUAUCAAUGCCCUAACUUUCAAUGAGAAAUGAGAUAUUUUGUUAUGCUAUACUAGUAGUGUUGAUGAUUUAAGACUUACUCAGUUUGAUUUUUUGCUUCAGUACAAACAGAACCUCAACCAUAAUCUUCUUAUAUUAGGGGAAUUUAAUGCUUAUCUCUCAGCCAAAGAAAAGAAGGGAGGGGGAGGGUGAUACACAUUAUACAAUUAAAAUUCAACCGUUUAGGAGCCUUUUGAAUGGUCUUAGACUAUUGGACCUAGGUUGUCAAGGUUCUCCUUUCACAUGGAACAAUCGAAGAGAUGGCCCUUUCAACAUUCAGGAGAGAUUAAACAGAGCAUGUGCUUCUCCAGGGUGGUUGAAUUUAUAUCCAAAUGCAAUGGUUCACCAUCUUGAGGAUGUAGGAUCAUAUCACAAACCUCUUCUUCUAAUUGCAGAUCCUACUCUCAAGAAAUCCAAAAUGAGGUUCAGAUUUGAUAUGAGAUGGGUUGGAAAUUUUGAAACUGAAAAUAUUAUUAAUGUUGCAUGGUCCGAGCAAAUUCAAGGACAUAGAAAAUUUCAACUCUUUCAAAAACUGAAGAAAUGUCACUAUGCCUUCUCUCAUGGAACAACUCAGUCAAUAACAAUUCUCAUAAGCGAAUCAAGGCCUUAGACACCAACUCUCUCAUUACAAAAAUAAUGCAGUGGUUUGGGAUAAUGAACAAAUUCGGGCUAUGGAAUAGGAGAUAAAAAUGGAACUGCAUAAAGAAGAAAAAUAAUGGCCACAAAAGGCAAGACAACAUUGGCUGCUUGCUGGAGAUAGAAACACAUCAUUUUUCCAUGCUAAAACCACCCAGUGAAGAAGGCGCAACUGCAUCAACAGAAUCCAAGAUAAUUCAAGUAUGUGGAAAUAUACCUUGCCUGAAAUUACUGAUGUUAUUCUUGAUUAUUUUUCAGGUAUUUAUUCUUCCUCAAACUUAAGCAAUUUUAGAGCUGUCCUGCAUGGUUUGAAUUCUCGCUUCUCAAAGCUGGAUAAUGUUAAUCUUACACCACCUAUCUCUAGAGAAGAAAUCAAAAGAUCAGUCUUUUCUAUAAAUUUGAAUAAAGCUAUAGGAGAUGAUGGUCUUAUUGGACUUUUCUUCCAAAAGUAUUGGGGAACUAUUGGUGAUGAGGUGUGCUUAGUAGUUGAAGAAUUCUUUAAUAGUAGUCGCAUGUUUAGAGGGAUCAAUCAUACCAAUAUCAUCUUAAUCCCUAAGGUUCACCAAGUUUCUACCAUGAAGGACCUUAGACUUAUCAGUUUAUGAAAAAUCAUCUAUAAAAUCAUCUCCAAAGUUCUAACUAGUAGAAUGCAGCCUAUAAUGAAUAUGAUUAUAAGCUUAGAGCAAAGUGCUUUCACCAAAGGAAGGUUGAUCUCAGAUGACAUUCUUAUCUGUCGUGAAGCAAUGCAUAAUCUCAAUCAGAGGAAGGGAAAGAAUUAUGGAAUGGCUCUCAAAUUAGACAUCAGUAAAGCGUAUGAGUGUGUUGAGUGGAAUUUUCUGAAAUCUAUACUCUGAAAGUUGGGUUUCUAUGAAAAAUGGAUUACAUGGAUCAUAUAGUGUGUAAACACUGUCACCUAUUCCUUCUUGAUAAACGGACACAAGGUUGGGUUCCUAUAACUAUCUAGAGGAUUACGCCAAGGAGAUCCAUUAUCUCUUUAUUUAUACCUCCUUUGCACUUAAGGACUGUCACACAUCAUUAAAAACUCAGCUCUCUCAGGAAUAUCCAUAUCUAGGGGAGGUCCCUCUCUCACUCAUUUACUUUUCGCUGAUGAUUCUAUCUUUUUCACUAAGCCUUCUACCUUGCAUGCUGAAAAAAUUAUGCAAGUUCUCCAAGAAUACUUGAUCAAGCAUAAUUUAGUCACAUUUUUAUUAUAUUUAUUACUGUUUAUUUACACAUUUUUCUAGCUUAAUUUGUGUUUUUGUUAUGUUUUUACAGAAAAGGAAGAAAUUGAAAAGUUGGAGAAAAAGUGAAGAAAAAGCUGGAAAAAGUGAUUGGGUCAAAGUGAUUUGCCCAAAUCACUCGCAGAGACUGGCCAAAUCACUCGCAGAGACAGAGACAGAAACUGGGCUAAAUCCCAGAGGGCGAUUGGGGCAGAUUGGGCAAGUGAUCUGCCCAAAUCACUCGCAGAAACUGCCAAAAUCACCUUGACAGCAGAAAUUGACAGUAGAGGUGGGAAAACAGCAGGGAACCGAAUUUUGAAUUUUCAGAAGUCCAAAUCCAACUAAAUCACUACCAACACAAUUCCAAGAGCCACGAAAGAGUUUCUCACCUAAGGAAUUCCAGUUGCAAUUAAAUUCAACAUCAAAAGAGGAAUCACAAGCCAAAUUAAAAAGGGAUUUCAAAACCCUAGAAGGAUGGAAUUCUUCAGCUGUAAAAGGGCAGCCUCCAAACCAGCAAAGAUAUAUCUCAUCUUCAGCAAUUCUGCAGAAAAAUACAGCAGUUUCUUCUUCUUUUCUUUCUUCUUCCUUUUGUGAUUUUGUCCACCAUGAGUGGCUAAAUCCAUUCUUUUCUAGUUGAAGUUGGUGAAUUUCAUAUUUGUGAUGAAUUGGGAGAUUUAAAUCUCCAUUAUUAAACUCUUAUUUACCUUCAAUAUUUAUGCAACUUGAUCUUUCUAUAAUUAUUACUUUGCUUUUAGAAUCAAUUAAGGCCUGUUGCUUUUAAUUGCUUGAGUAAUAUAUUGUUUGAAUAAUUUAGGUCCGUAAUUGCUUAGAUUGUUUAAACACAAGUAUAAUCAGUUGCAUAAUCUAAACUUGACCACACGGUUGGCAAUGUUAGAGUUGGGUUUCUCUAAGUCUUAAUGCAGUCAACAGUUGUUCGAUGCUACAAUGCCCCAAGGACGUUCCUUGGCAACUUGUUGAUUAGUGUUUGAUUAGCGAACGUUUCCUAAUCAAACUAGAACUAAGGAGGAAUUUGGAUUGUGAGAAGCGUAUUUGAUCAAGCAUAAUUUAGCCACAUUUUUAUCAUAAUUAUUGUUGCUUAUUUACACAUUUUUUAGUUUAAUUUAUGAUUUUUAUCUUGUUUUUACAGAAAAGGAAGAAAUUAGAAAAUGGGAGAAAAAGUGCAGAAAAUUUACUAAAAGGUGAUUUGCCCAGUGAUUUGCCCAAAAAUCUGNNNNNNNNNNNNNNNNNNNNNNNNNNNNNNNNNNNNNNNNNNNNNNNNNNNNNNNNNNNNNNNNNNNNNNNNNNNNNNNNNNNNNNNNNNNNNNNNNNNNNNNNNNNNNNNNNNNNNNNNNNNNNNNNNNNNNNNNNNNNNNNNNNNNNNNNNNNNNNNNNNNNNNNNNNNNNNNNNNNNNNNNNNNNNNNNNNNNNNNNNNNNNNNNNNNNNNNNNNNNNNNNNNNNNNNNNNNNNNNNNNNNNNNNNNNNNNNNNNNNNNNNNNNNNNNNNNNNNNNNNNNNNNNNNNNNNNNNNNNNNNNNNNNNNNNNNNNNNNNNNNNNNNNNNNNNNNNNNNNNNNNNNNNNNNNNNNNNNNNNNNNNNNNNNNNNNNNNNNNNNNNNNNNNNNNNNNNNNNNNNNNNNNNNNNNNNNNNNNNNNNNNNNNNNNNNNNNNNNNNNNNNNNNNNNNNNNNNNNNNNNNNNNNNNNNNNNNNNNNNNNNNNNNNNNNNNNNNNNNNNNNNNNNNNNNNNNNNNNNNNNNNNNNNNNNNNNNNNNNNNNNNNNNNNNNNNNNNNNNNNNNNNNNNNNNNNNNNNNNNNNNNNNNNNNNNNNNNNNNNNNNNNNNNNNNNNNNNNNNNNNNNNNNNNNNNNNNNNNNNNNNNNNNNNNNNNNNNNNNNNNNNNNNNNNNNNNNNNNNNNNNNNNNNNNNNNNNNNNNNNNNNNNNNNNNNNNNNNNNNNNNNNNNNNNNNNNNNNNNNNNNNNNNNNNNNNNNNNNNNNNNNNNNNNNNNNNNNNNNNNNNNNNNNNNNNNNNNNNGCAUUGACUUCAUGGGACCAUUCCCACCUUCCUUUGGCAACACCUACAUACUUCUAGCUGUGGAUUAUGUGUCCAAGUGGAUUGAGGCCAAAGCAACAAGGGCUGAUGAUGCAAAAACAGUGUGUGAAUUUGUAAAAUCCCACAUUUUCUCAAGAUUUGGCUUGCCCAAGGCCAUAAUCAGUGACAGAGGCACCCAUUUUUGCAACAAGGUAGUAGAAAUUCUCCUCAAGAAGCACCAUGUCAUCCAUAGAACCUCUACAGCCUAUCACCCUCAAACAAAUAGGCUGGCUGAAGUGUCAAAUAGGGAGAUCAAGUCCAUCUUGGAGAAAACGGUCUGCCCAAAUCGCAAGGACUGGAGUACACGCCUCAAUGAUGCCUUAUGGGCAUAUAGAACAGCAUAUAAAACUCCAAUUGGGAUGUCUCCAUAUAGGCUGAUUUAUGGGAAAGCAUGCCAUCUACCUGUGGAACUUGAACACAAAGCCUAUUGGGCUGUGAAGAGCUACAAUCUUGAUGAAAAAGAGGCUGGAGUUCACAGAAAAUUGCAAAUCCAAGAGCUUGAGGAGAUUCGGCGUGAUGCAUAUGAAGCUUCAUGGGAUUAUAAAGCAAGGACCAAAGCCUUCCAUGACAAAAACAUCUCCAGAAAACACUUCCAGGUUGGUGAUAAGGUUUUGCUUUUUGAUUCCAGGUUCAAAUUAUUCCCUGGAAAGCUUCGGUCUAGGUGGAUUGGACCAUUCUUGGUUGAGCAUGUCUUUCCACAUAGAGCUGUUGACAUACGGAGUCCACAAACAAGCAAAGUUUUCAAAGUUAAUGGGCAUCGUUUGAAGAGAUUCUAUGAAGGUUUUACUAUCCAUGUUGUGGAGGAGGUUCCCUUGGAUCCCCCUUCCCAAGACUGCUGAGCAAGACACUGAAGUCCAGCCCACGACAGAAAACAGGGCGCUACUGGGAGGCAACCCAGAGGCAGUGAUUUGCCCACUGCUUGCCCAAAUCGCCGGGCAAAUCGACUGAAUGUACCAUAGUCACAAGUGAUCGGGGCAGUGAUGUGCCCAAUUGCCCAGAUAAUUUGACCAGAUCACCGGUCCAAUCGCAAAAUCAAGCACAUCAUCAGCAAAGGGCGUGAACAGUACCAGCACAGCAACUGCAAAGGAGGAGUGAUCUGGCCAAGUGAUUUGCCCAAAUCACUGGUCAAAUUACCCUGUCAAGAAUCCAGAGGGCCAACAUUAAAUGAUCAGAGCAGUUUACAUACCCAAAUCACUUUAAGUAGUCUUUUCUUUUAUUUUUUACUUUCUACGCAAUUUACUGCUUUUAUCUCUUCUUCUUCUUCAAGAUUUCUCUCCUCCGACCACCACUCACCCACCGGCAAACUCAAGACCACCAUGGUCCGAAUUAAGAUGAAGGCCACCGGCGGACCGUUCAUGUGGAAGAAACUAGGGCUGCCGAAACCCAUCCCCUAUGACAGUGACGAUGAAGCGUGGGACACCACUCCACCAGCCACCACCAGCACCGAAACGCCACCGGCUACUGAACCAGCGACCGGACGCACCAACUCACCGGCCGUCGAGACAUAUCGCCGGCAAAAGAAACGGCAAAGAACGCCGCCACCACCAUCCACAAUAGCCCCAACGGCAAACCCUGCAGGCGAAAUGCCAUCUGAAGCCACCACUUCCUCCGGCCACGGCCAGAAACGGCCAAGAACACAGUCGCCACCUCCACCACCGAGAUCAGAGCCAGAGCCAGAACACACCAUUGCCAUACAUUCCGCAGGACACAAAGAAAGUGGUACGCCCUGAAAUUUCACCAGCAAUAUGCCAAGCGAUGUGCCCACUGAUGCACCCAGCGAUGUGCCCACUGAUGCGCCCACGGACUUGCCAAGUGAUAUGCCCAGCGAUGUGCCCAGCGACACACUCAGUGAUAUGCCCAGUAAUCUGCCCAGUGAUUUGCCCAAGCCAGCAUACCCUGAUCACAUCGUUCAAGCAUUGACAUUCAACAAAAUUUCUGAGCGCACCAGGCUGAUCAAAAUUUCAUCUCUACCAUAUCACCCAGGUAAGUAUAUCCACCAUGGCACACUUGGAGCACUGAGACUCCAUUCCCAGGUACGUUCCCUCAUAUCUGCUAUUGGCUGGGACACCUUUUUCUUCCUGCGCAUGCCCUUUUUCCUUGAACUCACACAUGAGUUCUUCACCACAUUUUAUUUUGAUAAACCUGCCAUGCAUAACCUACACACACCAGGCACUAUUGGAUUUAGGUUAUUGGGGAAGCGAUUUCACUUAUCCCUGCAGGAAUUCGGAAUUGCCAUGGGCUGUGAAUGCCCUCAGUCCACCUGGGACUUCCCUGCUGAGUUUGAUCCGAGCUCUGUGUACUUGGAAUUAAGUGAUAAUCCACCAGACUCAUAUUCACCCACCAGGUCCAAGGACCUUUACCUCAGAAACCCCAGCCUGAAAUACCUCCACAGAUUCCUGGCUUAUACAUUUUCUGGGAGGAAGGAUGCUUCCAACAUCCUGACCAGGACUGAGUUAUACAUCCUUUGGUGCAUGAACACACACAGGAAAAUACAUCUUGGAUACUGGGUUGCCACCCAACUAUCCAGCAUCAUUCAGUAUAACAGGCCACUGAUAUUUGGCCCCUUGAUCAUUGCAAUUGCAGUGAAUCUCAAAUUAUUGCACCCAGCACAUACUGACCUUUCCCCCACUUCCAAGACAACCCCCUUGGACCUACGCACAUUAGAUGACAUGGGGUUGCUUUGCAAAGUGGGGGACAUUUUUUCAAUUUCACCUGUAGGUCCAGUAACACCACGCCAUGAGCGCAUUUUCAGGAGGAAGAAAGCCAAAAGCAUCAGCACCCAGCACCCAGCCUCCACAGCAGAACCAGUAGAUGGGUCAACACAGGCAAUAGGGCAGGAACCAGCAAACGAGCCACCUCCAGCAGCCCCCUAGCAGGAUGCUCCUCAGCCACCUGAAGACGAAGCCCCCAACCAGACAGUAGAGGCUCGUCUCAGUAGGAUUGAAGACCGAAUGCAAAGGAUGGAGCACUUGUUGGACCUGCUGGUGGACCAUUUUCUGCCCCAGCACCGUGACAGAUAGCGAUUUGCCCAGUGCUUGCCCAAAUCACUGGUCAAAUCACCCACAGGCCAGGAAGUCCCUUUCCCUUUUCUCCUUCAUUUCUCUAUACAUAUAUUCAAACAUUGAGGACAAUAUUUGGGAUAGGUGUGGGGGUACUGGAGAGUAUUUAUUCACUGAUCACUCCAUCUUUUGAUUUCUUUUUGUUUCNNNNNNNNNNNNNNNNNNNNNNNNNNNNNNNNNNNNNNNNNNNNNNNNNNNNNNNNNNNNNNNNNNNNNNNNNNNNNNNNNNNNNNNNNNNNNNNNNNNNNNNNNNNNNNNNNNNNNNNNNNNNNNNNNNNNNNNNNNNNNNNNNNNNNNNNNNNNNNNNNNNNNNNNNNNNNNNNNNNNNNNNNNNNNNNNNNNNNNNNNNNNNNNNNNNNNNNNNNNNNNNNNNNNNNNNNCCCCAUUGAUUUGCCACCCCUUUAAGCCUAAAUUGAAUCAUUCACAGUAUGUUACCUUCACUUAGGGAGUUUUUCUCUUGAAUUGAAUCCUUAAAUGUGCUAAGGUCAAGGGAAAUAAAAAUACAAAUACAUGCAAACACAAAGCUAGUGUAACUCCCUAUGAGCUGAUUUGCCCAAAUUAUCAUAAAAAACCAGCACAAAGCACAAAUCUCAAACUUGUUCCAAUGGUCUAAAACUAUGAACUGAGCCUAAUAGCCACUUGGAGAAGUAACUGACUGAGUAACCGGGGGUGUAUCACCCAUGUACACAAUCGCGUAAAAAGGUCAGUAACUUUUUCAAGCGAAUAAGUUUCGAUGGUCUAGACUAUGAACAGAGCUAGUAGCAACUUGAACAAUUGACUAACUGAGUAACCGGGGGUGUAUCACCCAUGUACACAAUCGCAUAAAAAGGUUAGUGACUUUUUCAGGCAAGGAUAAGAAUAAGUGCUGCUGAAAAUAAAAAUAUAAAUUAAAUAAAAAGGAGAAAGAGAGAAGGUGGCAGGUCACUCCUAGGGGUUACAUUAAACCUAACAUAAAAGAAUAAGCAUGAUUGAAUCANNNNNNNNNNNNNNNNNNNNNNNNNNNNNNNNNNNNNNNNNNNNNNNNNNNNNNNNNNNNNNAUAAAGGAAUAAGCACGAUUGAGUCAAAAACCUUUCUCUUGACCAUGGUAGGUGAAAGGAAACAAGGAAAGGAGAGGACGACCUUGGUGCAUGUACUCUAUACUGUGAUACUUCAGCUUAGGAGUCUAGGGGGGGCUGAUUAAGUGGUACUUAGCCUCAAAGGAAAAAGGAACUUGAUUAACUAAGUUAUUUGUUGCUUGAGGACAAGCAAAAAGCUAGGUGUGGGGGUAUUUGAUCAAGCAUAAAUUAGCCGCAUUUUUAUUAUCCUUUUUAUUGCUUAUUUACACAUUUUUUAGUUUAAAUUAUGGUUUUUAUCUUAUUUUUACAGAAAAGGAAGAAAUUGGAAAAUUGGAGAAAAAAUACAGAAAAUUGACAGAAAAGUGAUUGAGUCAGUGAUUUGCUCAAAACACUCAAAUCACCGGGCAAAUCACUUUGACAGCAGAAACCUGGAGGCAACAGGCAGAAGUGAUAUGGGCAGUGAUUUGCCCAAGACACUCGAAGACACUGGCCAAAUCACUCGCAGAAGACAGAGAGCAGAAAACUGGACUGACUCACAGAAAAGUGAUUGGGUCAGUGAUUUGCCCAACCACUUGAAGAAACUGGUCAAAUCACCGGGCAAAUCACUUUGACAGCAGAAACUGACAGCAGAGCGGGAAAUUGGGCAAAAAACAGAAAUCCGAAUUUUCAGAUGUCCAAAUCCAACCCAAUCACUACCAACAUAAAACCAAGAGCCACGAAAGAGCUUCUCAUCCAAGGAAUUCCAAUUGCAAUUAAAUUCAACAUCAAAAGAGGAGUCAAACACCAAAUCAAAAAGGGAUUUCAAAACCCUAGAUAGAUAGAAUUCUUCAGCUAUAAAAGGAGAGCCUCCAAACCAGCAAAGGCAUCAUCUGGUCAGCAACUCAGCAUCAUCUCUCAGCACCAGAAACUCUGCAGAAAUUCUCUUUUCUUCUUUUCAUCUUUUCUUUGUGUAUUUUGUCCACCAUGAGUGGCUAAUUUCCUUCCUUUUCUAGUUGAAGUUGAGAAUAUUCAGAUUUGUGAUGAAUUGGGAGGUUUAAUACUCCAUUGUUGAACUCUUGUUUGUUUCAAUAUUUAUGCAAACUAAUCUUUUCCAUAAUUAUUACUUUGCUUUUAGAAUCAAUAAGGGCCCAUUGCUUUUAAAUUGCUUAAGUAAUAUUGUUUGAAUGAUUUAGGUCCGUAAUUGCUUAGGUUGUUCAAAUACACAUUUAAUCAAGUUGCAUAAUCUAAACUUGACCACGCGGUUGGCAAGGAUAGAAUUGGGUUUUUCUAAGUCUUAAUGCAGUCAACAGUUGUUCGAUGCUACAAUGCCCCAAGGACGUUCCUUGGCAACUUGUUGAUUAGUGUUUGAUUAGCGAACGUUUCCUAAUCAAACUAGAACUAAGGAAGAAUUUGGAUUGUGAGAAGCGUCUUCCACAACCAAAACUGAUUUAUUGAAAUCAAAUAGGAGUCUUUAAUAAUCAAUGAUCAAUUCUGAACAAACUGAAUUAGACUCACACUUCAGCUAGAAUCUCUUUCUCAUUGAAAUUCUCAUCUAUUUAAAUUAUUGCUUUCUUUUGCUAUUUAAUUUUAAUCAUCAAAUCAAAACCCCCCUCUUUUAAUUACUUGUUAUUUACUUGACCUAGUCAUUAUUAGGAAAAUCAUUGGUGUCAAUUCCCUGUGGUUCGACCCUAUUGCAACUAUCUACAAGUUUAUUGUUGAUUGUUUAAUAUGUUUAUUUUUUACGGCUUCGACAACCGCCUAUCACUGACUUUACAAAAGAGCUCGGGGCAUCAAAAGUAAAGAAAGUGAAAUUCCGAACUUCGGAGCUCGCGAUAUAGGCAGCAUCACAGGCUAUAGGCACAAAAGCCUAAGCAAAAAGCAAAGAACCGAGCUCCCAGCUCGGAUGAACUCGUAACAGGAAAACACUCAAGUAGAAUAAAGCUAAAUACAGAAGAAAUAACAGAGAACCAAGCUCCCUCUAUGAAAAGGCCCACAAAUGUGGGAACGCAUAAAAGGAUAAACGAAGGCGAAGGACCAUGCUCACAGCUCGGAUUAACUCACAAUAAACAAAUGUUCAGCAAGAAUAACCCAUGAAGAGGAAAACAACAAAAGAACGAGUAAUCUAUCCCAGUGGAGCUCACAGCUCAAACCGCACCGACUACCAGAAGGUUAUCUCAAGAGGAACAAGGCAUUAUAUUCCUGAGCUCGCAACAAUGACGAGAUCGUGAGCCAAAAACAGAAAUGCCCUCAUGAGAAUAAGAAAAACUCGCGAGUCAGAAACUUAACCAGACUCCGAGCUCUUAGCCCGGGUCGGUUCGACCAGCAAAGACCCAGUAAAGUCGGCCUGGUCCAUCAAAUAAGUAAAGUUGACAAAACCAGAAGACAGUGUGAGUAGAAAAUAAUGACGAGGAACAGGCCGAGGUGAAAUAUCAUUCGUCAUCAAAUACACAUCUCCAGAUCACCAUACAUUUAAACACCAAAGUAAAGAGAUAAAAAAAUAAGGCAAGAAAAGGACGUUUUGACAAGAGCCGUUCUUGAGCUGCACGGUCAUUAGUGGAGCCUAAGUAUUUACCCCCUCACCAAUCAUGGAAUAACUGCUGAGGAGGUAAAGGGGCAAUUGAUAACCUCCAGAUCUUUCCUAGCCCAGGAGUAAGGUCGGGUCCAAAAGAAGGCCACAGGUCCAAAGCCCAUCAGAUCAUACGCUCGAGAGGCGGCUCGACUUCACGAGCCUGGGCCGGCAACCCAGGGUGAUCCGAAUCAGAUAUGAGCACAAGCCCCAUAAGGGAGUAGGCCCAAUCACUUACCAGCCCUACCCGCAUGCGCUCUGGAGAGCAUUAAAUGGCCGUUAUGCAUGGAGCAGGUGCCUGACACGCCCGUACGUACGGGCCUGAGUGACAAGGACAGGAAGCACUAUAUACUGGGGGUCUUCUCUUGCAAGGGGGUAUCUUCUUCUUUUUCUUCUCCUGCCUGGACUCCAUUUUUAUUUUUCUCUGCAACUCUUGUCUAAGGACACAACUCUUAUUCAGGAAACCUGACUUGAACGUCGGAGGGUCUCCGCCGGGGUAUCCCCGGUGGACCCCUGACCCCCCUUUUUUCCUUGAUUUGCAGGUCAUUUCCUCAAAGAAAACAUGGAGAGACCCAUUUGACAGACCCAUCAGAGAGCCCAAAAAGGAAUCAGAUCCAUAUAACAGGGGACGAGGGAGAACCAGAUCUAUCGGAUAUGGAGCCCAGAGAGAUUUAGAGUUAUCAUAUAUAAUAUUUAAAUUUGUUACUUUAAUAAUUUUAUCUCAAAAAUUUUAAUUUUUAAUUAUAUAUAUAUAUAUAUAUAUAUAUAUAUAUAAAUGAAAACCUAUAUUAUUAUGGAUAAUGAUUUUAUUAUUCAAUUUAAUGUUAAAUUUAUUAAAAUCCAAAGGUCUGAAGGUAAAAAAAGCUUUAGAUAAUAAUUAUUAAAAUAUAUUUAAAUAUUAAUUAAUUACUGGAUAAAAUUAAUUAAACUAAAAAAUUGACAAAUUUAAAUUCAAUAAUUGAAUAUUGUGAUAAUUAUUUUAAUAUUGUAUGCUAUAUGAAGCAUUGUAAUCUGGUUUCAUUUGCAGGAAUUUUUUUUUUUGAAAUAGGAACAGGGAGAAUAGAAUAAAAAUUUCUCAGAUUUACUCAAAUGCACUUUGAUGAUAUGAGAUCCAGAGAAAUAUGGUUUUUACAAUGGGCUCUGUAAAACUUAGGAAAAGCUUAAACCUAGAGGCGAGUAUUUCUCCUUUUAUAGGUUUCCUUUUGUCUGCUAGUGACGUGCCAACAGAACGAGUAUCAUUAGACCACAUGUCCCUGCUACGCUGAUACGGACGUACGAGGGAAUCAGAUCUCUGCCCCAUGCGCAACGGUCUGUGAUUCUCUCUGUGCGCGGGUAGGCGGGUCUGCAAGGCGGAUGGAUGAAUCCUCCUUCGGGUUCCGGGCUGGACCGGAGAAUAGGAACAAAGCAGGGCCCAAAUGGGAUCGGCCCGAAGUGUAAUGAAGAUGAGGCCGGCCUGGUGGAGAAAGCCAGAUGAAGCCCGGUCAUGAGGCUGAGCGGACUGGACCCAAUUGGCAUGAGUGGCUUGAUGAUCUCUAAGUAAUGGGCUAUUUUCUUGGGCUUGGCCCUAGACUGGGGUGAGGUGAACUCAGAAGUCAUCAAUUGCCCUUUUACCUUCUCGGCAGUUAUUGCCCUAACUGUCGAGGGGGUAAACCCCUAGAAUCAUUAUGACCGCGUCUGUUUGAAUUCGGCUUGCCCUUUCAUCUUAUUGUCACUUGUAGCUUUAAAUCUUCUCUGUCUUUUUUUCUAUUUUUAGCUUUCCUCUGCUCUUUAUGCACACUGUUAUCCUCGCUUUCUUGCUUUUAUCUUCCCAGUACGCUUUCUUUCCUUUCUGGUGAAUAGCCUUUAAGGAUUCUGAUGCUGUUAGCCUAGAGUAUAAAGUCGCCCUGUUUCACAUUAAAAGCUCAACCUCUGACUAUAUAUUACUAACAUUUCCUUCUCAUCCUUGGGAUCCUUAACGAAACAGCGAGAUUUCUCUUUUCGAUCUUCCUUCCUCUUGUUCAACCAAUCUCCCGAAAGAUGCGGGUUUAGUUUUCUUUAUUGUGUGGAGGGGGUAUGGUUUGCCCUUCCCUUGCUCCAGCUCGGGCUUCCAUGCCGAGCUCUCGAGGUUUCGAAUCUUCAAGGUUGUACAUCAGUGUCAAGUCAGUCUCAGCUGCUCUAAUUGUUCGAACUCUCAGGUCCUCUCGGACUUUGAAAUCAAUCGAGGACUUUAGGUCGACAGGAACAAAGCCUGCCCCACCUCCUGAUGAUGCCUUUCCACAUAUGUUUCAAGAUAUUGAAAGUUUAACUUGUUCCAUUGCUCUUUAGAAUGUUUCGCUGGUUUUCCUAGGUGUGCACGAGUGUAUCGUGCAUCACAUUUGGGCGUAGGUUUGCACCAUUCACUUGUUCCAUUGCUCUUCAGAACGCCUACCUAUGACGGAACAGUGAAGGGUGCUUAUGGGGAUCGGCCUGUUCAGUUCCCCUAUAAUAAUGAGACAGAGCUUAGCUGGCUUGCAAAGCUCAUCUUCCAAACUAUGAGAAUUCGUCUGAAUCGAAAGCUAGGAUAGUGGGGUAGGCGACAGUGAUGUAAACGUAGAUGAUGAUGUAUCUGGGCAUGUAAAUCCUUUAAGGAUAGCCUUUUAUCCUGUAGUGUUGGUAUUUGUGACAUGCCGUAAUGUGUUUUUCUUUUAAUGAAAUUUUUGUUUUGCGUUCAUACUCGAGCUGUUCUUUCCUUGUCAUAAAUGAAGUACUUAGAUUGCUUGCUCUGUAACUUUUCCCGAGGGAUCUGCUGUAUUGCUUUUUCCCUCUCGCCCCCUUAGUCGUUCAGAACUAGAGUUCAUUUAGCCAACUGAGCUUUUGACUUACUUUUUCCGAGCUGGACCAGUCGUACCCGUGGGCUCUGUUUUUAACCUGUGAGCCGAGCUCUUAACCUUCUUAGGUAAUGAGCAGGUCUGGUCUUUAUCAUGCUUCCAUCUGCUUGCGUCUUUGAACUUUUUAUUUAUUUUUUUUUCCGAGCUGGACUAGUCGUAACCGUGAGCUCUGUUUUUAACCUGUGAGCCGAGCUCCUGAUCUUUUUAGGUGAUGAGCAGGCUUGGUCUUUAUCACUGAGUGAGAGGUCCAAGUGGAGCCCGGUCUUAAGGUUUGAGCGAGUUGGGUUUGUUUUAUGCAGAUAGCAUGUGGGCCUUCGGGUGACAGGCUAUUGCUAUGGGCUUGGCCCUAGACCGGGUGAGGAGAAUCCAACGGUCAUCAUUGCCCCUUUACCUUCUCGUCAGUUAUUGUCUAACUGAUGAGGGGGUAAACUUCGAGAGUAAUUAAUGACCGGGCCGCUCCAAGACAAAAUUGUUCAGAGCAACGCUUCGUCUCAUUAUUGCCUUUCAUUUCGAAUUCUUUCUGUCUUCUGAAGAAACUUGUUCUCGUCUACUCUCUGUUUUCUUUCGACUUCUUCUGCUUUUUCGACCUUGUUGCGUUUCAGGUACGCUCCCUUACUCUUUCAUGGAGGGUCCUAAGCUUCCCGAUGUUGCUAAUCUCAAGUCGCACAUUACUCCUUCCAUAACUAAGUAUAUUUCUCGGAGUUACUUAGACACUCCGCUCUACUUUAUUCGAGCUCCUCUCCGAAAUGAAAGGAUAGUUCUUCCAAACCCUUCCCCUCCUAGCUUGGUAGAUCCCCAAAGGGGUCGUUGCAUAAUCUUCUUCCUUAAGCAGAGGGAUUUCGGUCUGACUUUCCCUUUUACCCCUUUCUUCAUCGAGGUUUUCCGGUACUUUGGGAUAACCCCCCGGAUGUUGUCCCCAAACUCCAUUUUGUUCAUGGCUUGUUUUGAAUCCAUUUGCUUGAGUUGGGGUUUUACACCCACAGCGUGUCUAUUUGUCACUUUCUUUCGCCUUGUUAGGGCGACUCAAAAUUUUUACUAUUUCUCCCCCCGUGGUGGAUUGUCUCUUUUCACGGGCUACAAGGACUCAAUAAAGGGAUGGGUAGAGAAUUUCCUUGUGGCGGAGCUGAGAAAAGAGACCGACUUGUCGUGGGGAGUGGGGCUAGACUGGGAGGAUGUCCCCCCGGGCAUCAACGACCUGCCCCAACUAAGUCUCACCGAGCAGGUGGGGUAUCUUCGACUGACUUCUGUUGACAAGAAGUAUGACGUUGAGAGGUGUAUGUUCGUGUCUAAUCUUAGGGAUAUCCGCGACACGGGUAUAAUGCCUUGUUUAGCAACUCCGUUUUUUCCUCGUAAGUGAUAUUAGAAAGUACGCUAACUCUUUCUGGUUUGGUGUUUUUUGGCAGCUUCUAACGUUAAAAUAAAUGAGAUCAAGCCCCCGAAGAACUUAGUUCUGUCCCGGGAGAGUAUGCACGCCGCUUUAGAUGCCCUUCUGGCUGGGCGCCGCGUGUCUGAGGUCGCUGCAAAGGUGGCUCAGGUUGUUUAUGCCAAGAAGGUUAGGCGACCUCCUGCCAGAGCUUCCUCUAAAGCUCCUAAGUCGAGCUCCCACGGUGCCAAGUCUUCUCGGCUGUCUGGCCGUGGCAGGUCGGCUCCUGCUCUAAAAUCUGUUCAGGAGUCAGAGUCUGGUCAGGGUUCUACGGAGGAUGCGGAGGGAGCAUUCCCUGCCAGACUUGGCGAGGGAUUGAGAGGAAUGGGUAUUUGGUUGUUUAGUGUUGUAGGGUUAGAAAAGGAGAACUGCUGCCCUUCUUGGGCAGAGCUCAGGUCAUUUGGGAUAUUAAGGUUGCUUUCAUUGUGAUUAGCCAUCAUGGAUCUCAGUGGGUUUGGUUAAGAGUGGAACUCCGGCGAUGAAAAGAUCUCCUUCGUUCCCACAGACGGCGCCAAUUGAUGAUCUGAGAUCCAGAGAAAUAGGGUUUUUACAAUGGGCUCUAUAAAACUUAGGAAAAGCUUAAACCUAGAGGCGAGUAUUUCUCCUUUUAUAGGUUUCCUUUUGUCUGCUAGUGACGUGCCAACAGAACGAGUAUCAUUAGACCACCUGUCCCUGCUACGCUGAUACGGACAUACGAGGGAAUCAGAUCUCUGCCCCAUGCGCAACGGUCUCUAAUUCUCUCUGUGCGCGGGUAGGCGGGUCUGCAAGGCGGAUGGAUGAAUCCUCCUUCGGGUUCCGGGCUGGACCGGAGAAUAGGAACAAAGUAGGGCCCAAAUGGGAUCGGCCCGAAGUGUAAUGAAGACAAAGCCGGCCUGAUGGAGAAAGCCAGAUGAAGCCCGGUCGUGAGGCUAAGCGGACUGGACCCAAUUGGCGUGAGUGGCUUGAGGAUCUCUAAGUAAUGGGCUAUUUUAUUGGGCUUGGCCCUAGACUGGGGUGAGGUGAACUCAGAAGUCAUCACACUUAUCACUGUGUUAAAUCUGUGAACUAAUAAAAGGAUAAAGGUACUCAAAUGCACUUAUUACUGUAUUAAAUUUGUGAACUAAUAAAAGGAUGGAUGUAUGCAUUAUCACUUGCCCCUAAUUUCCCAUCUUUUGGCUUUUGAGUUUUCUUUUCUUUCAUUCAAGUAAGAAACUAUGUGAACUAAUACUAUUAAGGAGAAAAUUUUCUGCCUUUCGUGUGGUAAAAAGGUCCUUGUAAAAUGCCUUAAUGGUUAAAGGCACUCAAUUUAGAGAUAUAAUCUGUGAUUUUGGAGUUGAUCCAUUAUUCUGUCAUGCACUAAGAAAAGCUGGUUACCAUAGGAUACCAUGAAGAGGCACUAAUAAACUUUUUUGUUCUGAACUAGAUUGCAGAAGCUUUACCUUUAGAAAAAAAAGGCCAUCUAUCGUAUAAACAGGGAGGUAUAAAUAUUACAGGCAUAAUUAGUACAAAACCACUAAGGCUGUGGUACAUUUAUAAGCUGUUAUCCCAGUUGUCCUACUUUCACCUUCUACCUACAAUUUUUAUUUAUUUAUUUAUUUUACAUUUUCAGAUCAAAAAAAUUCUAAGUGGUUGUUGGGGUUUUCAGAAGCUUCAUCAUGAAGUUGAAUUUGAUAUCUGGAGAGGUCCUUGGCUGGGGCCAGUUUGCUCCUUCUGGUACCUUAAUACAUUUGAAACCCUGGCCUUUAUACAGUUUUGUGGCACCAGGAUUGUUCAGAUCACAAUGCAAAGCAAUGGCACGGCAGCCCCAGCUUCUGGCCUGAGUCUCUGCCUUUGCUAUUAGUCUCUUAGCUAUCCCCUUCCGCCGGUGUCUCUCCCGAACUGCAACAUUCGAUAUAUAUGCAAUUCCAGUCCUGGAAAAGAUAUGAAUAAGAAAUGAUACAGUUUCAGCAACUCAUUAAAUGAUGCAAUUACUUUAUAUUUUAAGAUGUAAAUGCAUAAACAUCCAGGACAUUGGUCAUGCGUUGCGCCACGUGGAUUUGAAUUUAAAUAAGAUAUGGCUAAAAUGCAAACAAAUGAAGCACAUGCUGACACCCAGUGUCAGAUACCCAACAAUUCAGGAAGAUGACUAAGGAAACUUGUAGCAAUCUUGCCAAGUUGAUAUACUGCUGGUUAGUCCUGUGUCUGGCUGAUAGAUUUUAAUUUAUUUUUUUACUCAAGAAGUUACUAAAACUAAAACUAAUUCUGCACGUUAUGCACUCUCUCUAUCCGAAAGCACUAGCAGACUCGUCUCUAGAUUCUACUUGCUUCCCUCCUCUACCCCUUCCAGUAUCUCAUUUUCGAUAGCUGCUCCGGUCAUCACCAGCUCACCUUUGCCAAACUGUUUUAUCCACAGUUGCAGCUCAUGGCCACAUAAACCUAAAGUUAUCAGUCUGCAUCCUCCGCCUCGACGGCUCGACCCUACCAAUCCCUAAAAUCCACAAUCGAUUUUCUUGGACAACAAAUGCAACAGUCCAGCUGAGAACAUUAACCUACAUCCAUAACUUUCUUUCUUUGGUUCCUGAGUGAUCUCCAAUUGCAAAUCCCCUAAUCUUAGAAGCAUCCAAAGUAUCAGAUAAUGAAAAAUCUAAAUUGUAAGAAAAAUGCAGACAUAAGAUUUUCAAAUUCUGAGUUCUCUUUCCAAAGAAACCACGAACACGUUCUCUCUUAUGACAGUCUUGAAGCAGAUAGGAAAUUCAGGGUUGAAAAUUGAGGAGGAAGUGAAGAUAAACAAAAGCAGACAAUGCAACCAUUGCCCAUCUGAUUCUGACCUCUAAUCUAAAGAUACUUUUUCUAUUUUUGCUAAUAGGAUAGCAAAAGUUGCUGCAAAUUAUUUAUGGCAAUUACUACCCCAUUUAAAACAAAGUUCGGCCACAUUUUGCGCCCUCUCUCUCUGUGCGCCAACUCCAGAUUAAAAAAAUAAGAGCCAUGUAAACCAAUUAGCACACCGUUCCAAAACAAAGUUUGGACUCAUUUUGUAGUCUCUCUGCAUUAAUCUAAGUUCAAAUUCAUAGAUAUCCAACUUUGGAUUCAUAUGAUAUUUAUCAGAUUGGGCCAUAAGGGCUAAACUAAGGGUAUGAAGAUAAAUCACAGAAAUAAACUAUAAAUUUCAUUAAGGGUGUUCAUAAUUCGACAUCUUUCUCUGCACAUUAAUUGCAGUCAGCAGUCAGCACACAGCCACAAGUUCAUAUAUUUCAGACUUUGGGAGCAUAAAUGAUAUUUGUUUCUUUGGCAAUAAGAUCAAGUCCUAAACUAAUGGCUUUGCAAAGAAACCAGAGAACCAAAUAGCAUUUUCACCCAGGGUGUCUUAAUAACUUUCCAUAUUUUCUACUGAAUACAGUAGUAUAAUACUCCAGUAUGCUGAAACCAACUUCAAGUUUGCCCGGAAGUUUCUCAAAAGGGGGAGGGAAAGAACUAUCCAAAAUCAACUCUAGUAAAAAAGGACACCCAUAUAACAAUAGAUGGGAUUGAAAUAAUAGAAGUUAAGAAAUAACUGCUAUUCAACACAUCCAAGAUCAUAUAGCAAUAAGCACAUAUAUAGGAAGGAAAGAAAAAGCCAAAUUCUCAAGUUCAGAAUUUAUAUCUAUCACCUUUUAUAGGGGAGAUUCAAGUAUACGACACAAGGAUCAGGAAUGAAUGUCAAAGUGGGCAGGAUGCAAAAUGCAAAAAAUCAAAAUCUACAAUAUAACACUUGCAUGAAUGCCUUGUCCACAAGUUGUACUUCUUAUCAUUCUGAGAUAUUUUAUUGGACAUUGCAAUUGCAGAACCAGAUAACAUAAUGAUAAAUUCAUGCAUUAUUUCUUCAAAAUCUCCCCAGCAAACAAGCAUGAUAGUAUAUCAAUCUCCAAGUAAGCAAAUGUCUCAAUCAAAUGGCUAAUACCAGAAAUUCAUAGAAACAGCAGAACAAGAAAAAUCAAUCUCAUAUUAUUUACUUCAUGUUUAUUAAUAGCAUCAUAUUGCAGUGAUUUCCUCGUAUCACGGGGAGAGAACAUGAGCAAAGUCAAGCAAACAAGAUACAACAAAUUGAAGAAGGAGAAGAAUGAAAGAGGAAAGGAGACAAGGAAGAAAGGAUAUAAGGCAAAACACUUCUCCAAAUCUUUGUCAAAGGUAUGUUGCCAGAGCUUCACUUUUCCAGCCUAUCAAAGUUAGAUAGAUACAACAACAACAACAACUAAGCCUUAAUCCCAAAUUAGUUGGGUUGGGCCAUAUGGAUCCUUGGACACUAUUUAGUUCUGUUAAGACAAAAUUAGAUAGAUAUAACAUAUUUGUAAAAAGAAUGAUGAAGGAUAUGAGAUGGAAGCGCAUGAAGCACAAAGGUAGCAUCAUAAAGUAGGACCAUCAUAAGGAGUCAACAAGCAAUGUAAUUCACACUCAACAAGAAGAAAGCACUGCUUUGCCAAUCACCAGAAAAAAAAAAUUGUACAAUUAAACUCAUAAACACUUGAAAGCUGGAUGCAACAGAAUGUUAAGACAGUCAUCACACCUGACUAUCCUGUGCUGUUAAACUCACCUUCUUUGCCGAAGUGGGCCUUUCCUUGGAAGAAAAUCAGCCACUGUAUCCACAGUCAGUAUGCCAGCAACAUAUCCUCUAUUGAGACUGAAUUUCCCAUCAAAGCCUCCAAUUUUGAAAUCUUCACUUCCAAAGCAGAAGGAUUCAUCACCUGAAUUACCAAUGAUAGCAACCAGACAAGUUCUCUUGCAACCAUUUGGUAUAGAGAACCCUGAUAACAUCCCCACCAGCCUGUCAAUCCUCAAAACAAAAUCUAGGGGGAAGGAGUAGUCAGGGAAGAAGCAGCUGCAGUGAGUCUCCACCACUUCCCAACAAUCCUCUAGCCUUGCCUCCCUCACAACAAUCUCAGGAGACACAGAAGGGAAUAAUUCAACCACUUGACUUGCUCGGCAUGCUCCUAUACACAAUGACCACAAUCAUCUGAUUGAGCUUUUAGUAUCUAACAAAUCAUGCAAACAGAUAACAAAGAAAAAAGCUAAAUUUCUAUCUUGUCUCCCUCUGCAAAGUUUGGUUUAGUUGUGAUGAACUGUAUGUGUAUAUAGGGAGAAACGGAUGCAGUUAGGGAAAAAUAUAUAUAUAAACUAUAAUGUUCUCUAAGUAUAUUCGAUGCAAUACCUAAUUCUCCAGAGUUGUGAAACGUAUGUAUAUACGAUAUUCCAAAAUCCAUGCACGUAGAAAAUCUAGACGCAUGCAAUAUUUUGCAAUACAUCGCAAAGUAAUGGUCGUAAUGGGAGAUCCAACCAAUAUUUUAAGCUAAAAUAUACCAAAAAGAAACUAUCAACUUGUGUAGAUAUGAUGGUUUAUUUGGAAGAUCAGAAAUGAAAUUGCUUUAAAAAGACAACUCCUAAUCUCAUUGCUAGUGCUCAAAAGCCAAGAAAGGCAUGCCUAUAAUUUACAGAAACACCCUCUUUAUUUGUCUCAAGGUCCUUCCACCCAUCUACAACAAACGUAGAGAAUCAAAACGGUUGCCUCCCCCUGAAGGUCCUUACAAAUUUAACUGUGAUGUUUUUCUCUUAAGGCCUAUGAAAGCUGGUAUUGAAGUCCUAAUGUCCCUAGAAGAAAUUCAAAACGGAUUUUAAUGACAUAGCUCGCUUUAAAGUUUUCAUGUAGUUCCGUUUUGGUUAAAGGAAAAGGCUUUGUUACAAGCUAUCAGGAUUUCUAAGAGACUUGGCCUAACCAGCUUGCUGUUUGAUCAGAUUCACCAAUCACCAGUGCUUGUUAAUUCACUAUUGCAAUCUAGCAAGGCUCCUCCACGGGAUGAAAUAAUAAUAAUAAUAAUAAUAAUAAUAAAAGUAAAAAAAUAAACGUGCACUAAAUAUUAUUCUUGCCAUACACAUCAAAUAUACUCUACUUUACUGUCAGAGAGCCAUUUCUACACUAGUAAACCAAAGGCAGCUGUUGAAUAUCUUGAAUCUGAUUGCAUUAUCACUCGACAACUGAAAUCCAAGUACAGAUUAAGAUUCAAAAUUAACCCAGAAAUCACAACACUUCAAUCUGUAGUCAAGAUUUAGUCUUGACAAAAUCACAAGAUAACAUACUUAGAUGUAAAGAACUACAUCUUACAAAGAAAACCCAGAAAAAGUUCACUAUAGUAACUGCAAAACCAACAAGAAUUAAAUGGGUAAAUGCCAAAAGAGAACUUUUUGAGGUACCUGAUUUGGAGAGGGGAGAGAGAGAGGGUUCAUGAGAAACCCUAGAAGAAGAAGAAGAAGAAGAAGAAGAAGAGGAAGUGGAGUAAAAGAAGGAUGGUUGCUGUUGCUGUUUCUUGAAAUUNNNNNNNNNNNNNNNNNNNNNNNNNNNNNNNNNNNNNNNNNNNNNNNNNNNNNNNNNNNNNNNNNNNNNNNNNNNNNNNNNNNNNNNNNNNNNNNNNNNNNNNNNNNNNNNNNNNNNNNNNNNNNNNNNNNNNNNNNNNNNNNNNNNNNNNNNNNNNNNNNNNNNNNNNNNNNNNNNNNNNNNNNNNNNNNNNNNNNNNNNNNNNNNNNNNNNNNNNNNNNNNNNNNNNNNNNNNNNNNNNNNNNNNNNNNNNNNNNNNNNNNNNNNNNNNNNNNNNNNNNNNNNNNNNNNNNNNNNNNNNNNNNNNNNNNNNNNNNNNNNNNNNNNNNNNNNNNNNNNNNNNNNNNNNNNNNNNNNNNNNNNNNNNNNNNNNNNNNNNNNNNNNNNNNNNNNNNNNNNNNNNNNNNNNNNNNNNNNNNNNNNNNNNNNNNNNNNNNNNNNNNNNNNNNNNNNNNNNNNNNNNNNNNNNNNNNNNNNNNNNNNNNNNNNNNNNNNNNNNNNNNNNNNNNNNNNNNNNNNNNNNNNNNNNNNNNNNNNNNNNNNNNNNNNNNNNNNNNNNNNNNNNNNNNNNNNNNNNNNNNNNNNNNNNNNNNNNNNNNNNNNNNNNNNNNNNNNNNNNNNNNNNNNNNNNNNNNNNNNNNNNNNNNNNNNNNNNNNNNNNNNNNNNNNNNNNNNNNNNNNNNNNNNNNNNNNNNNNNNNNNNNNNNNNNNNNNNNNNNNNNNNNNNNNNNNNNNNNNNNNNNNNNNNNNNNNNNNNNNNNNNNNNNNNNNNNNNNNNNNNNNNNNNNNNNNNNNNNNNNNNNCAAGCUGCCUGACCUUUCCCUUCCUUUCUCUUUUUUUUUUUCUCCACUUUGGGCUGAGGAGCACAAGGAGAGAAAGAGGUAAAAAAUCUCAGCGCCAAAACUAUUGCAGCAAAAGACCCACAUGCACCUCCAAAUUAGGAGCCAAUGCCAAGGAGAAAGGCUGUAGAUGUGAGAGCUCGUGUACUUUUUGGAAUUCAAGCUCCACAAGCCAUCGCAUGCUCGUUGGAUUAGGACACCAACAGAAGUCCAAACUGGCAAUGCCAACCAUAAAACAAGAAAAAAAGGGAAAAAGUAACAACAGCAAGCAAAUGGAAGAUAUCCCUCCUUUGUAAGAGCAUAUAUGUAAAAAAAAAAAAAAUUAAAUUCUUACUUAUUAGACAAUUCUAUCUAAAAAUAGAAAUAAAAUAAAUCACUUUAAUAAAUGAAGGAUGAUUACUCUCCGCUGAAAAGGAGGGAAGGACGACCACGCAAGUGGUGGUAGAUAGGGGUGAGCAGUAUUCGGUUCAAAUUGAAAAAAUUGAUCGAAUCGAAUUGAUUUAAAAAUUUGGUUCGGUUUUUUAUACAUUUCGGUUCGGUUUUUAAAUUCAAAAAUUUCAGUUAUUUCGGUUUGAUUCGAUUUUGAUAAAAAAAAAAUCGAAAAAAUUGAACCGAACCGAUUAGUGAUAAUAAUAUAUUUUUUCAAUAAUAUAGAGAAAUUAAAUCAUAUUAAAAUUAAAAUAUUUUAAUUAAAUUUUAAAAUAUUAAAAAUAAAGUGUAAAAAAUAAAAAAGUAUUAAAAAUGGAAACCGAUCAAACCGAACCGAAUCGAACCGAAUCAGACCGGUUCGGUUCGGUUUUUGACCAAAAUCGAUUCGGUUCGAUUUUUAUAAACACUAAAAUUUUGAUUUUCGGUUUAUUCGGUUCGGUUCGAUUUUAAACCGAACCGACCAAAUGCUCACCCCUAGUGGUAGAUAAAUAGAUGAAUCGCCAAAAGAAAAGAGAGAAAAUUUGAGAUUUUCUAUCUAGCAGCACGAUACAUAAAUUUAGUGAUUAAAAUACAAUGAAAAUUAAUUUAGAAAGUGAUUGGUUUAUCUUAUUUAUGUAAUUCAUCAGCUUUUAAACAAUUAAUUUAUGUGUUUAAUAAAUUAUUUAAAAAGUAAUGGAUAACUUAUAAGUGCUUUAUAUGCUUUUUUAAUAAUUUUUAAUUUUAGAGUUUUUUUCUUAUCAGCCGAUUAAGACUUUAUUUUUAUUUUUUUUAAUAAAAAAAUAAAAUUUUAUUUUUUAUAUAGAUCAUAUUUUAUUAAUUAUAAAUUUUUUAUAUUAAAAUAAAUUAAUAUAUACUCAUAAAUUCUUCAUAUUCAUAAAAUAAAUAUAACUAUUAUAAUUUUACCAUUUUAGUUGUAAUUUUUAUAUCACAAAAUACAUAUAUACAUAAAAAAACAAAUAAUAUUCUCCUUACAAUCAUAUUUUUAAAUCUUAUAUAUAUUAUAUAAAUAAAUUAUUAAUUUUGUAUACACUUUUAAUGGUAAAUAAAUAAUAUAUAUAUUUAUAUUUAUUAUUUUACAUAUCAAUAAUAAUAUAUAUAUAUAUAUAUAUAUAUUAUUAAAAGUUUAGUAUAUUUUAAUUAUAAUUAGCAGUCAGCUAUGAAUAACUAUGUAUGAAAAAUUAAAAAAUAUUAAAUUUUUAUUUUUUUAAAUUUACACAUAUGUUAUUAUUAAAAUAUUAAAUAUUAAUUUAAAAAUUGCACUUUAUUUAAUUUUUUUUAAUAUGAUUUAACAUAUUCAAUAUUUUAAUAAUAAUUAAAAAUAAUAAAAAAAAUUCAAAGUUUUUGACAUAACAUUUUAGUCCAAGAUCAAUUCUAGCAUUUUUGCCGUCGUUUUAAAAAAUUGCUAAAAGGCAAUCUAAACCGGCACACAACACAGAGCCCUCACAAAUGCGGUCGGUUACUCGGUUACCGUCUAGCUCCGGUUCAAGAAAGGCCUACACGGCCCACUAUAAGAUCACGGUUUCUGAGAGAUUUGAUCCCAAAAUUUUCCCAAGGAGCUCUUUCCCUUCUCUGCAUAAAUCCACCCACUGAAAGAGCUCCUUUCUCUUUUUCUUCUAUUUUAGUGUAUAAUAAAAUUUAGACUUUUUUAGGUUUUCCCCAAAAGCCAUGUCUGGUCUCAACCGAUCUUCCAGUACUCCGUUUAAGAACGGCGGCCUCCCUCCUCAAGAACUCCUUGACGAUCUCUGCAGGUCUCUACCUACACUCUAUUUCAGCUCUUAUAUGUUACCAUAUGAUGUUUUGGAUUUUUCAGUGAUAGGAAGUGAAUUUCUAUCUGGGUUGUUUUCAAUUAAGUUGAUCGAAUGUGGGGAUUGAUCAGAAUUCUAGGAUGGUCUAUGAUUGUUGUUGUAGCUCCUUUAGCUGUUUAAGUUUUAGUUUUACAUUUGUUGUCAAAUGGUGUAGUAUGAUUCUAGUCGCAUACAACUUGUGUUGUCUGAGCACUGAGAAACGAAACAGAUAUAGCUGUGAUAACCAAUUCUACAUGAGCUAACUUGCAGCUUUUAAUUUUGUCACUCUUUGGGGAAUCCGUUGUUUGGCAGUGUGCACUCAACUUCAAUUGAAGUAUAGUUUGCUUCUUGACAAGAGAUGAAUAGAAGCUUGAUUAAACCAACCAUUCCAAUACUUCUGGUUAAUCUGGUCUUUUUUUUUGCUGUGCUUUAAGGCUAAUGAUACUUCCUUGUAGUCAACAAAUCUACUUGUAUCAGAAUCUGUAUUUUUCCCAUUUUCUUGUGCUCUCUUAGCAAUCCAACAAAGGAAUAUUAAGUUCAACCUUUUUUUAUUAUUUACCUAAUAAUAAUAAAGGGAAAACAAGUUGACACAUGUGUUCCUCUGUGUGUCUGUGUGAGCACAAGAUUUCUUCUUGAAUUGCAUUUUAUGAUCUACAUUGAUGGCAUGUAGUGUUCCUGGUCUAUAAUAACUUUAAGAAUUGUUUUUCAGUUCAGAAGUGAGCCAUCCGCUCAUCUUUAGACCUGAUUUUAUAUUCAUUAAUAUGCAACUGCUGGUUCUCUGGUUAUUGUUGGGAAGGGGCCCCAGGAUUAGAAAAAGUUUUUCACUUAUUUCCCUCUUUCCCCACCCUUAAAAAAUUCAUCACAUACUUUAUAACCCUGCACCUGAAGCCUUUUUUUUUUUCAUUAAUUUGAUGCAGUCGGUUUGUUUUGAAUGUGCCAAAAGAAGAUCAACAAUCAUUUGAGAGAAUUCUAUUCCUUGUGGAGUAUGCACAUUGGUUCUAUGAAGAUAAUUCGGUGGAAAAGAAUCCUUCACUGAAGUCAUUCACUCUGAAGGAGUUCACAUCCUUGAGUAUCCUCUUUUAUGGAAUCUGCUUCUGGGUUGCAUCCGUCAAUUUUUUAAAUGCAUUGUUAUUUACUGAUCUACUGUUCACUUGUUGAUGGAUGAUUUAUGUUUAUUCUAUAUGCAUAUUUCUUGUGUUAUUGUGUUGACAACAUAUUUUUCAUUAGGUAUGCCAAUCCAUUGCAAAAGAAUGAAGUGCUGGCAUUAAUUAAUCAAGUUUUGCACUGACUGGCUAUUAAGUUUAAUACUAGUAUGUGCUCAACAAUGGUAUUACGAGGGUGACAUACUAAUUUCAGUGUAUCUGUACUUUUCCUUUUUCAGGCUGUAAAUCUUUGCUGGUAUUUAGAAAAUAGUUAUAAAAAUUUGUGUUCUGAAGUGGUUGAUUUUCAUUUGAUACUUCAGAUCAGCAUCUUGAAUGUUGUUUCGCUGCUCAAUUGGAGAAAUUGUGAACACUGUGAUGCUGCUUUGUUCCAACUGUAGAAGGCUGAUUCAAUCCAUUGUCAUACCUCUAUUUUUAGGGCUGUGUUGACCCUAAAUUUGGAUGAUACUUUUCCUUGCUAAAUUCAAAUCUGCUAAAGAAGUGAUUUGGUUUUGCAGUCAAUAAUGGAAAAACCAGUUAACCAACAUGCAAAACCAUAUGAUGGCCUUGGACUUCUCUAUAUGUUGCACUUGUAUUAGAUAUGCUAUCAUUUAUUAGGACUAUUUGCUACAUAUAUAAAGUUGCAUUUUUUGCAUCUAUAAUUCCUUGUAUAUCGUCACGUGUGUCUAUUUUCUUAAUCUGUUUUUAUCAUGUUUCCUUGACAUAUCACAGUGUUUAACAGUUGUGAUGUUUUGAGACCUUAUGUUGCUCACAUAGAUGACAUAUUUAAAGACUUCACUUCAUACAAGGUUCGAGUUCCUGUAACUGGGGCAAUCAUUUUGGAUGAAACCUUUGAACGGGUGAGCCCUCCUGCGAUGAAUCUAGUGUGAAUAGUUGUAUUUGGUCACUAUUUUAGUCAUAGGAGUCCUAAAUGUGAAAUUCUCUUUUAAUUUGCAAUCAAUCCCAUUUGUCCUUGUUCUAUUCUUGCACAUUAUAUUGUUGCUAAUCAUGCACUCAUGUUUGGAUUCAAAUAUGAAUGUAUAGUAUUACUGAUGACUUUGUUUAGUUAGUCUUUCAGCUAUUGGAUUUUUUCUUCGUCUUUUUCUUUGCUGCAACACAUCUUCACCAUUUUCAUGAAGUUCUAAAUACAGCGGAUCUCUCUCUCUCUCUAUGCCCUUUGCACUACUUAUCAUAAAAAAUGUUGAAUGAUUAAGUUAAAAAAAUUGUUAGAAGUAUUAUUUAUAAUGAGACUUUAGAAAAUAAGAAUGGAAAUGUUGCUCACUUUUAUAGCUAUUAGAAGUUGAUUGCUUAUAGUGUUUGCUAAUGGUUAAUGGUUGAUAUUUGUUAAUUUCGUAGUAAAUCAUCAAGGAUGCUCAAAUUAAAAAUAUAUUAAUUAUUUAAGUCAUAAAGAUGCCUUUCAUAUUAUACUUUUUCUUGCUUAAAUAUAUGAAUGCCAUUUUUGGUUUAAAUAUUGUAUUUAACACUAUGAUAAUAAUAUUUUAUCUUUCCAUCAAAUUCUAAAUAGUUUAAAAAUUUAGAGAAGAUGGUGUUUUGUAAUUUGCAAAUGAGGAGGACAAUUUAGUCCAACUGUUAAAACAGUUCGCAUUAGCUAACAACUUAAGAAAAAGGCUCCAAAAUGGAACUAACAGAAUCUAUAGCUAUUCAGUAUUCCCUGCAAGGCUACAACUAAUGGAUGCUGACUUCCUUAUUUCUUUUGCUAGACUGCUAACCAUGAAUUUCCUAUCUUGGGGGUUGGCUAACAGCAGCUCUCAAUAGCUGAACGAUCUUGAUGAUAAUGUGAAUGCUUUUUUAUGGAAAAAAUCUUAGACCUAGUUUAUAAGUGAAUAUCAUGAAGUAUUACAAUUUUUGCAUGCAUUGGAGUUCUGGCCUGGUUGCCUCAGAAAAGAUAGUCCAGUACCUGAAUAUUUUAAGAAAUAGGGAAAAAUGCUACUAGGUCCAUAGAGUAGUCCAACAAUUUGCUGUUAUAGUUGGACAUGUGACUUAGGAAGAGGAUGAUAUUGAUAUUUGAAGAAUAAUGUUUUAGUGCAUGGCAUAAAGUUCUUGCUAAUAUAUAUUUUACAAAAUUUCUUAGUGUUCAUAUGCUUACCUUUUUUUUAAAGCAUGCUUACACUGUACGUGUUAUCCUUUUUUUGUUUGUUUUUUUCUUUUUGACAAGAUAUUUUAGGAUUAAGAUGUCAAAUCCUUCAUGAUGAUCUAUUUGGACUAUUUCUCUUUUAAUGGACCUUAUGAGGGAGGGUGCGGUGGCCAGUGAGGGCUUUUUUUCUGCAUAAUUUAAGAAAUAUAAAUUUGAACUUGUAAUGCUUGCAAGAAUUAUCUGUUGUUGAAAUCAACAUUUGAAUUCCUUGUAUCUAGUUUCUUAGCUCGGUUCAUGUGAUUUGUAGUGCCUGCUAGUGAAGGGUUGGAAAGGGACAAGUUGGAGUUUUCCGCGAGGCAAAAAGAACAAAGAUGAGGAAGACCAUGCAUGUGCCAUCCGAGAAGUAAGUUUUUUCUUGCAUAGUAUGUUAUUUGUGUAAUAUCUCAUUUAUUGAUCUUUAAGCUUCUGAUUGUGCUUGAAUAAUAGAUACUCUUUACACGAACAGUUGGACCAUGAACUACCGGUGGUUAGAAAAUUUUUAUUAUCAAAAUAUCUUAAUGUUUUAGUUAUUGCUAGUGACUGCAUGAUGUAUGCUUUCACUGACUUGGUAAAUGCUGAUAGGCUUUUUGAUGUCAUGUUAAUCAACAGUUCCAUGCAAUAUAUUUGUUCGUUAUAAUUAACCUUGUUGAGAUAAGGAUGAUUAGCUCAACUAGUAGGAAUGCAUAUCCUAGGGCUGUGUUCCAUAAGAAAUAUAUUUCUCUCCAUUUCUAAGAGAGAUAAAGGAUAAAAUGCAUAGAUAGCUUCAAACAGGGAGGAAUAUUAUGUUUUUGUUUUUCAUCUGUUCAAACAAACAAUGAAGCUGGCUCUUAUUAAUAUGAUCACCAAUUCCUUCUCAAAUACAUGAUCACGAUCUUCAUUGAAGGUGUAGGUUCUUAAACUUUAUUUGUCUCAAGUAGCAUAGGUUCUAAUACUUGUUCAAUUGUUGGCUUACUCUUGCUCAACUUUUAUUCAUAGCUUAGGUGAAGAGGUUUUUGAAUUUGAAAUUUGAAGUAAAGUAUUUUCCUUUUGGGGCACAUAUGUUGCUGAGAGAGUUAUUUUACUUGUCCUUUGAGUUUGGUGGUAAAAAAAGUUGGAAAUUCUUAUGGGAUGAGCAACCUUACAGUAAUUGAAUCAUUUUAUUAUUUCCAGCUGUUAACUUGAAAAAAUUGAUUAAGGAAAAGUUUUAGGAAUGACUAAUUACUCUCCUUUCCCACUUGCACACGCACUUAAUUGAUAUUUUCUUCAUGUCAAAUUCAGGUUUUGGAGGAAACAGGUUUUGAUGUUUCAAAACUUCUCAACAAAGAAGAAUACAUUGAAGAAAUGUUUGGACAACAGAGGGUAAAGCUUUACAUAAUUGCUGGCGUGAAGGAUGAUACUGCUUUUGCACCACUUACAAAAAAGGAGAUAAGUGUAUGUCAUUGCUUCUUGUUUACUUUUGUUGACAAUUUUUCUGCUUUAGCUAUUUAAUAUGAUGUUUUUAACUAGGAACAUAAAGCAUCAUUUCAAGAUCCAGCUCUAUACUUAAAAAUUUCAAUAUAUGUUGUGGUUGUAAAUUAUGAAGUUACAAGGUAGCCUAUUGAUACAAGAAUUCUAAAGUGGCAAUAUCUUAAACUAGGAAUCAGAAUGUACUUAACAUAAAGGCCUAUUUUAUGGCCGUAAUUUCUGCCCAAAUUAAGGAAAUAUGCAACGAAGCAAAAAAAAAUCCUGAAUUAAUGUAAAAUUGCCUAUCCUUUCCCUAAAGAUGGUGCAUAGAUAUCUUCCAUGUACCUUUUGCGAAAGAAAACAUGGAAAGAUUUGCUAUUUUUGCUAUUAGUGAAAUUAUCAACCAAUUGAUUUUUAAAAGUCACAUGGAAGAUGUGUAAAAUUCCACAAUUUAGUUUUUUUUUCCUUAAUGAAAUAUUGAUCGAUUUCAAUGUAACUUGUUCGAUCACGUUAAAUUGGAUUGUGUGCAAUACCAAUGGUAGCCUUAUUAGCAAAGUAUAAGAACAAAUUUUCUCAUAAUUGUGAAUCUUGCAAUAAUCUAUGGAUUCACAUAAAUUCAUGAACAACUAGAGUAACAGCUUUGUAUUCAAUCUCUGCAUUGUAUCUUGUUACUACAUUAUAUUUUUUGCUUGUCCAAGUGACUAUUUUUAUCGACAAAUGUGCAAUAACCCGAUGUAGAUAUUUAUUUUGUUACAUAGCAGUCCUGUAAUUCCCUUUGAAACAGAGAAAUGGGGAGAGAAAGAAAUAGAAGUAGAUUGGGUUGAGAAAAGAAAUAGAAAGGGGAGAAGUAAUAGAGAGAAUUAGAUAAGAGGAGAGAGCAGAAAUGGGGAGAAAGUUUAUCUUGAUUACUAAUGAUUUGGAUAUCUUUCUCUUUACAAGUAAGUUCCUAUUUAUACUAUUUUGGGUCUCAUAAUUACACUCUAUAGUUGCAAUUGACCGAAGAGACAAUCUACUAUUUCUUUAUUCUUUAGUCGUAACAUUCCCCACCCCUUGAAAUCAUUCUUGUCCACAAGAAUGAAUAAGGAAAGCAGAGCAAUAUAACUAUGAAACAGUUGCCUCCAUAUGUAAUAUAUUCCAACAUCAAGUGAUUUUAGGAAGGACUUUUGUUGCAGCCACUUGGAGUGGCAGUUAGCAAACAAAUAACUGCAGCAAGGGCCAGAUUUUCUUCCUCUGUCAUCUCCUCAUUUCAAACUCAGUUUCUUUUAGCAGUAAAUGACUGCUGUAUCCCAAAGAAUCCCUCUUCUUUCUCUGCCUUCACCUAAUUUCAAACCUUUCUUCUUUAAGGAUCACAAAAUAAUUCAGCUGCACUUUCAAAUUACAAAUGCCGCAAGAUUGAUACCAUCUUUGACAAUGUCUUCCUUCCCUUGUUUCCUUUUUUCCCUUAUCAAGAACAGCCUCUGCAACAAGAAAAGAUUUUGACGUCAAUAUUCUUGGAUUAGAAUCAAAUUUAUCCAACAAUGCCCAUGCUUAUUCUGAAGAAUUUCAGUGAAGUGAAGGACAAAAAAAUAUUGAAUUGAAGAGUUACUCUUCAUAAAAAAUUUGAAAAGAAUUUAAUUUGGAUGCGAGAACCGGAUUAGUCUUUCCAUCAGAAUCAAGUUUUUAAAGAUUAGGACAACCAAAAUCCAUAGAACUUUCUUCGUCCUUGGCAACACCAUCAUUUUCAUCAAAAUCUAGAUUCUCUUUUUCAAGAUUGGAACAAUCUGAAUUACGGAAAUCCAUGUUAUCAAAUUCUUUAUCUUCAUCAAGAUUGUAUACUAUCUCACAACUUUCUUCCUCAAUUUUGCUAACCUUCAGAUAUGGCAAGCACAAAAUUCCCCUAGUAUUAUUCUCAUGGGAAGUGGGCUCAGGAUCUGAAACCAGCUGAGAAACAGUUUCCUUGUCUUUUGAUUGUGAAGCCCUUGAUCUCUCUAACAUUUGGUCCAGUUUUUGGACUAACAAGUCUAUUUUGUGGUUCAUUUCCAACUUCAAUUCCAGCUGGUCAUCUUCAUUCUUUUCAGUGUUGUUAAUGGUGAAGAAAGGCGAGGCGAGGCGCCACCCCCUCGCAUCGCCUGACUGAGGUGAGGCGCCUGCACAAAGGUGACACCUCAGUCCACUAAGGCGCCAGGCGAGAGGUGCCAGAGGACCUUUCUUUAAAAAAAAAAAGCUUUUAAACAACAAAAGAGAAAUCCUAGUCUCUCUCUAUCUCUUUCAAACAACAGAUAACACUUCCACAGCAAUUAAAAUGCAAAUUUCUUAUUCUUUCUUGCUCUUAAUACCAUCAACCAGGUACGUCUCUCCUCCUUUCUCUCUUCUUCUUCUUCUUUCUCCUCUCUUCUCUUCUUACUGUACCUGCAUAGCAGAAUGCCUUCUUUUUUUAAUUUUUCUCUCUUAUUUUUUCCUUCUCUUUCUCAUCCUCUCUUCUCUCUUUGCUGGACCUGACACAACAGCAAAUUCUCUUUUUCUUUUCUUUUUUUUUUUUAAAUUCUCUCUUCUUCUAUUGCUGCAAAUAAUAUAUAUAUAUAUUUCAUUUGAACAUGUAUUUUUUUUUCCUUAAAUAUGGGUCUUCAUUGAAGUGUUUAUAUGUAUAUUUAAAAUAUAUAACAAAAUUUUGGCUUUGUCGCCUUCGUCUUGCCUCUCGCCUAAGGCGAUAGGGUCCCCUAUCGCCUUAGGAUCGCCUAUCGCCUUGAUAACACCGAUUCUUUUGUUGAUUUUCCAUUAUUAAGGGGAUGAGGAAGCAGUAGAAAGAACAAAAUGUGAUUCAAGAACUCAAGAAAUGAGAAAGAAGGAACAAUGUCUUUUUCUAGAAAUAUAAAUGGAACCCUAGAAGUGAGAUCAGGUGAGAAAAGAAACGGAAAUGAAAGAAAGAAUGAGAGAAGAUAGAAGAAUUAGAGAGAAACAAAAGAAAAGAGGGAGAAACAUAGGGAAGCUGAGGAAAGAGUAGAAAUUAGGGGGAAAUAGAGAAAAAAAGGGAUGAGGAAUAGAAGAAGAAAUAAGAGAAAAGCAGAAUGUAGACAAGAGAGAAUAGAGAGAAUUAGGGAGGGAAAAUUAUUAGAAUCUUGAUAUUUCUUGGAUUUCCAAGAAAUUCAAGAAAGAAGAAUUGUAGAAAGUAGAGCAGAAGAAAUAUGGAUUUCAAGAAAAGGAAGCAACAGAAGAAUAUGAGAAAAAUCUGGAAUUUAGUGUCUUUGGAUUGUAGGCUUUGAUACCACUUGCUACAUAGCAAACCUUUAAUUCCCUUUGAAACAGAGAAAUGGGGAGAGAAAAAAAUAGAAGUAAAUUGGGUUGAGAAAAGAAAUAGAAAAGGGAGAAGUAAUAGAGAGAA